AUUUUGUGAGGGUCACCACUCAUGCACAAAGGAGAUCACUAGUUCAAGAUGAAUAUGUUACUUUAUCAAAUGCAAUUCUUUGUUACUUUUGGCUGCUGGACAAGAGCUCCUCUAUAAGCUAUAAGAAUGAUGCAUCAAAAAGGAGUUUAUUAACUCACCAGUUCUGGCUUAGAUAGUUUGUAUAGUUAGCCAGAGAUUUUUUGUAAGCUCAAAUGCCAUAUAUUGUAAUUCUUGCAUCUUCUUGAUGCUGUUAUUAAUACCACUUACUUUAUCCAAAAAAAAAAAAGAAUAAUACAUCAAAACACAACAUCCAUGUUAAGCUUGUGCAUAGAGAGGUUGUUUCCGAUAGACCCUCGGCUCAAGAAAAACAUUUUCCAGAACAGGUUUUGAAAAUUAGUGUUUGUCCAUGAAAAAUCCAAAUUCAACUUGAAGUUACAUUUUUUUGAUUUGCAAAACAUCUUUUAACUUGUUUUCAAACUCACUUUUCAAUUUUGAAGUUGUAUUUAAGUACAUUCAAGUAUGAACGUUAUUCCAAGUAUUCAUUGCAAAAAGUAUAACCAAAAACAAUUCAACUCCAUAAAUUCCUUUAAAAAAGUGAAAAAUAUUUGGAAUCUACAGACAAAUGCCUACUAAGAUUCAGAACUUUUAUGUAAGCAUCAUUGACCUCUUUUAUUACUUUUAGCCUAAGAGUGUAAACUGGGAGCCACUAAACGUGAAUGAGAAAAAUACCUGAUAUAGAUAAAAUCAUGGGAAGACCAAUAGUAAUAAUAUCAUUGAUUCACAUAUGUAAAUCAUUAGCAGUUAUACUCUCAGAGGAAACAAAAAACAGGACUACAAGAGAUACCUUGAAGUAGAAACAUCAUCUGAAUAACCUCUGAAAGUUCUGUUAUCACCGCUAAGCAUGGACCGUCCAUGUGCUCUAAAUGAAGGAUGCUCAGGACUGAAAGGAUAUAAAGCAAUUGAAAAAUGAGAAAAAAUAACACAGCUACACAUUAAGAUAUUGAACAGCUCAUUUCAAGUAAAUGUGGAUAAAAGACUCACUUUGAUGUUUGCUAAACACAGAUUAAACAUCUAAGUCCCAAUUAAUUCAUUACAUGCAUUAAAAGAAAUUCUCCAAAUAAUUGUCAGGAGUUGAAAACAAAAACCAUGACAAGCACUCAAAAAUAUAUACAUACUUAUUUCCAUCUAUGGAUCAAUAAGUUAUAUCCAAAUCUCACAUGUGAAGAUAAAGUAGAAAUAUGUGAGAAGUUAAAGUAGAAACUAGUCAUUCAGGAGGUACCCCGAAUGUAAGCUCCACCAUGAGCAUGUCAAACACAAGUAGCAACUUAAUGUAUUGUAACUUGUAACCAUCAUUUGUCCAAACAAAGCCUGGAAAUUCCUUUCUCAGAGUCUUCUUUAAAACUAAUUCAGGGGGUAAGUGUUUUUAGCUUAGCACUUUCACAUAAAGGUACAAUUGUAUUCUUUCAUGUAUGCUUGUCCAAUUGCAGAAUAAUUCCAGCGAAACCAGAAAAUGCGUCACCAAAUAAGAUUCAGUUUUUUCAAACUCAGAAUAAGAACUUAGCAACAGCACCAAGGAUCACAACGUCCUCAUGCCAAGUGAUUUAUCGUAUGGAGUAAAAGACAAUAGUAUAAUACUGUCUGAUAUUAAAAUGGAACUAAGUCAGAUAAAGCCGAACAAUCAUAUCUGGAAACCCGACAUUAUGCAAUGUGCAAUACAGAAAGUACCUUAAUCUCAGAACACAGACCUCAAACAUUCUGUUUCAAAAGCAUGUUGUCCUUUACGCUCAAGCUACCCAACAUGAUGAAUUUGUGUUCAUCUUAUGCCCUACAUGGCCUGCUUGGCAGCAUUUUUCUGAUUAUCCAAUCAAGGAUAUGUUCACCAGAACAAAGUUUGGUAACAUUGAGUUCCAUUAAUGUUGAGAAGCGAUGAAACCAGAAAACCUUACAAACUGAAUACAUAUACAUGUGUCUGUUCCUUAACCAUUUCUAUUACUCACACCCAAAUUCAUGUAACAUACAGAGACAUGUGCAAGCAUGAAUAGACCCUAACAUCACAGGACUUUGAAUAAGAGCAUUAUUAGAAGUCCAAACGACUGAAAAACUUGUAAACAAAACGAAAAAUAUGUCAAGGAAAACAUCAGAAUAGGAGUCUGUGCCAUCAAAAAAAAAAAAAACCUUGAACUUGCAGUCCUCGGUUCUGUUAUAACUUUACUGCGACCUCUUCUCCAAACCGUUGUAGCAGUAUUAGGCGCACUAUGCGAGAAACUGGUACAGAAAUGAUUUACUAAAAAGCAAGCAAAAUAACCUUAGUUUUCAAAAGUAAUUUGACAGACGGACAUCACAAUGUCUUACACUCAAAGAUGGGUCUUUUAACCAUCUUUCAAAAGCUAAAUCAUGGCUUUAAGGAUGAGCAAAAUAAUACCCCAAUUUUCUGUCAAUUGAAGUGUUAGCGCGCAACAUCGUAUUCCUCAAUGAAGGUCCUGCAGCAUUUGAAGAUGCUUCAAAUCUCCUCUGAUACUGGAGGAUGUCAUCUUUCUCAGAACUGUAGAAAUAGAAGAUUAGUUAAAACAAAUAUGUAAGUAGGCAACGAACUGUUUCUCCACCAAAGAAAAAAAAGAAAUUUCUAGGGGGAGAUAUAAUAUGUCUAUGAAGAUUCUCAUCACACAACAGAAGAAGAGUGUUUUUUUAUAUCCAGAAGAAGAGUACAGAAACCAAAUGGAAAAUACUCGUCACACAACAGAAGAAGAGUACAGAAACUAAAUCGAAGUUGAAUAUAUUAAAAAUAAAUAAUAAUUUUCUUCUAACCUAUCAGUAUCAUUUCUCUCUGAAAACCCAUAGAGGGGGCUGUUAGGCUCCAGAGGCGAAUCACAGGAAUCAUUUUCUGCAGAGUCACUCUCCCCAGCAGCCAUGUGGGUGAGGAAAAUCGCCUUGGUUGUUCGUGGAAUAAGUUGACCAGGAAAACGCAUAAGGUCAACAAGUAGCUCCACAGAAUUUAGCACAACAAGUAUAGACAUGUGCUUAUAAGAUUCUGCACACUCAGACCCUUCAGCAGGCAAACCCUGAUUUGAGAACCAUAAAUUUAUAAUAAGUAAAAUAUAAGUAGAUAUGGAAAUGAAAGAAAUGGUAGCAACAAUUCAUAGUAACAAGUAGCAAGACAAUUAUUAGUCCUAAUUUUAGAGAUAAACAGAAAAGUCCAAGCAAAAAUAAGCUUCAAGCUCACCACAACCAGCCGGCAUUCAAAACCUACAGUAUCUGCAAGCAAUUUGAAUAAUAUUGCUCGAGAACGAGAUGAGCUAUGUUUUAUUUGACCCAACAUCUGGACACCUUGAUUGUCAGAAAUCUGAGAGGCUUCCUCAAGUGCAGCUUUAGCAUGACUUAUUUCCGAGUUUGGUCGCUUGUAAACAUCCGACACCUGUAUAGGAAGGCAUGCAAGCAACGGGAGAAAUCACAAAUGUCCAUAGAUUAAACUUCAACCUUUUUCCCUUUUAUAACUGUACAGUUCAAAGUGUAAAAAUACAGACAUCAUAUGUUCCACUAAUUUGGCACCAAAAAUAUUUCAGUUUGAUUGCUUAUGCUGCCCCAUUUUCUACGUAAUUCAGUAAGUUGAGUGACCAUACGAGGAAUUAUCUCUCAAAAAAUUCAAAUAAUUUCCUCUUUGCUGAUUUUUGAAGAUACACUGGAUGGAAAUUCAGCAUCACAGACAAAAAAGAUUUGAGAAUGUUAACCAUCUCAUGGAGUAUGUACUAUGCUUGGGAGAGUCAUAGAAGCUCUCCUGAGCUGGGAAUAAGCAGGUACACAGACAAAGGAUAGGAUUAGAUGGAGAAUUGUCCCAGCUAGUAUCUGGUGGACAAUUUGGAAGGAGAGGAACCUUAGAUGCUAUGAAAGUAAACUGAAUAAUAUGGAGAAAGUCAAAUUGAAUUGUACCUUGACCUUAUGUUUUUGGUAUAACCAGUUGUAUCCCAAUGAUACUGUCUCUAUCAUUGAUGUUUUAGAUGAAUACUCUUGUAAAUAUGGUUUCAGUGCAUAGGUUGCACUGUUUUGGUUUAUAAUAAAUACAGAAACUGGUACCAUUGUCCAAAAAAAAAAUAAGGAAGUCAGCAGAAAAACAUGCAAGUUACAAGAGAAUUUUGCAAACAAGGCAUAUUUUGAUAAAAUAUUAUGGAUGUCAACAUCGUGUCAGGAACUUUUUCUUUUUAUAAGUAACACAAGUUUAGGAAUGAGAAAGGAGGUUCGGUGACUAAGUUAAAUCAGAGGGAAAGGUAACUGUAAUUUUAUAGGAAACAUAAAAAUCACAUACAAAGGGUUUAUGAAGCAUACAUAACAUAGUUGAACUCAAAGGAAAGAACAAAAUUUGGGAUGAACUGCAAAGACAAGAAAACAAGGGGCAAACUAAAAAGUACUAAUCAUCUCUAUACAAAAUCCCAAAACCAGAGAUCAAUUUUCACAGAGCCACCAAUAAUGCAAUAUCCCAAAAUCAGAGAUCAAUCCAUAGAGCCACCAAUUAAUAUGUAAAAAAUGAAACAAACAAGAAAUAAUUAGAAGGGAAACAAAUUGCUACACAGACAUCAGGAAAAGAAAAGGUCAAUAUGUAUGUCAACUACGAGUCACUUCCAAAUUAGUUGGGAUAAGCUACAUGACAUUAUUGUAUCUACAUUGCUCCACAGUCCUUAUCAUUUCCAACUGUAAAGAACUUUAGUGUAAUGGCCUGUUUUGACAGUAGAACGGGAGAGGGGGAGUCAUACCCAUUCUUCUGAAAGACUAAGGCUGGAUAUCUGAAUUGACUGUAUUUUAGGCACCAUAAUCCUGUCUAAUCUCACUUUAUCUGUCUUCUUAUACGGGCUAAAUGUCACCCUUAUACCAUUAAUUAACUUAUCAAAAACUAGGGCAAACAAGUAUGGACUCAAGGAACAAGUGAUAUGCAUAUUUGGGGGGGGGGGGGGGGGGGGGAGGAGANNNNNNNNNNNNNNNNNNNNNNNNNNNNNNNNNNNNNNNNNNNNNNNNNNNNNNNNNNNNNNNNNNNNNNNNNNNNNNNNNNNNNNNNNNNNNNNNNNNNNNNNNNNNNNNNNNNNNNNNNNNNNNNNNNNNNNNNNNNNNNNNNNNNCGGGAGAUGGUGUGGGGGGGGGGGGGGGGGGGUAUAUAAGUCACCCACCAAUCCAGCUAUCUUUUUUAUCAUUGCUGCAGGACUUGCGUUCAAACCUUUCACCAGUGUAACAGUCAGUUGCUUUAGCAUUGUAAGCUUUUUGUCUUUCUUGGCAUCCACAAGUAUAACAUCUGCUCCAAAACCCUCAAGCUCUAAAGCAUGAAGCUCAUCCAACGUAGGAAUGUCUUCAAAACGUUCCUUUAGCCUUUUCUCCUGAGCCAAAAUAGGAGAAGAAAAGAGUGCACACAUUAAAAUUUUAGCAAUGCAAUUUCCUAUCAUAAUUUUUUUUGAGAAAAGGUAACUUAUAUUAUAAACAAAGGAAUACUCAGGACGUAUUCCAGUAAUACUUACAAUCAGAAAUACAAAAGCGUUGUUGUUUUCCUAUGAACUCGUUAAGAAUUCUAAGAUACUAGAAUAUCCUCAUCUUCAUGAGGAUAUUCAUGUUUACACCAAAAAUAGAAAAGAGCUAAACAAUUCAACUUCAUCUUCUCCAUAGAGCAGCUCUUGUUGUCAAAACAUCUCUGAUUCCUUUCCAGCCAAAUAGUCCACCAAAUGCAGGAUGGGACACUAUCAUAAUUUUGUGGCAGCACCCACAUUAGAAGAUCUAAAAAGUAGGAAGGGCACUGGAAAGAUAACACCCAGAGAAGUGUGUCCUUGACAGAAUGUAAAGGUCGAUUUUAGGUAUAUUCCUUGGGAAAUAUAAAGGGCCAGAUUAUUCAAACAAGUUACAAUCGAGGCAAUUGAUGGACCUUGAGAAGACUGUAAUCAUACGGAAAUAUAUACUCUAGAUUAGUAAUUACAAUAGUGAAGUUAACAAAUAUUUGCCAUUCAUGCAACUAGCCAGUGCAGUAACUUCCCUCAAAAGAGGAAACAUAAGUUAAAUAACAGCUUAAGAGUAGAGUUUUUUCUAAUAGAAGUAGCAGUGUAAGAGUUUUUUUGAUCAAGUAAAAGGUUUGUCAUAAAGGAUUUAAUCACAUUGACAUCAUAGAAGCUCAUGGAGAGACCAUCGCAGAUCCAGAUAGAAUCAAGGAAGAGAUUGUGGAUUUCUAUAAGAAUUUAUACUCUGAGACAGUACACUGGAGACCUUUAGUCAACUUUCAAGACGGCUCAAUAAUUAGGGAAGAUGAUAAUGAUUGAUUGCAGAGAGAAUUUGAAUAACAAGAGGUGUUGGAAUGCUUAAAGUUAUGUGCUGCUGACAAAACUCCAGGCCCAGAUGGAUAUUCUAUGGGAUUUUUCCAAUGCUGCUGGGAAAUUGUGAAAAAGGAUGUGAUGGACACUAUCAGAAACUUUCACAGGAGUGAUAAUUUUAAAAAGAGUUUCAAUGCAACUUAUAUUGCCUUGAUUCCUAAGAAAAAUGGUGCCAAAAGUCUUAGAGAUUUCAGACCUAUAGUCUGAUUGGGAGUGUGUAUAAAAUUAUCUUAUAGCUCCUUACUGAAAGGCACAAGAGAGUGAUUGAUAAACUGGUGGAUAGACAUCAAAUGGCUUUUAUUUAAGGCAGACAAUCAUGGAUGUGGCAUGAUAGACAAUGAGUGUGUGGAUUCUAGAAUCAAAUAGCAGACCCCUGGUAUUCUCUGCAAACUUGACAUUGAGAAGGCUUUACAAUCAUGUUAAUUGGAAUUUCCUCCUAAAAGUUCUAAAAGACAUAGGCAGGAUCUAUUUAGCUUACUAUCACACAUUUACUUGUAUUUGAGGAUAUUUAUCCACCUCCUGGGUAAUUUAACUUUUUCCAUAAAAGAAAAUGAUCAUUUUCAUCUCACCCUUAAUCUAAAUACUGACGUUCUAAGAGCCUUCCUGAACUCCUUACCAGCUCUAAUUAACCUCCAAAGGUAUUUAGAAUUUGUAACAUAUGGAUCAAACACCACGCACAAAAACUUUUAUAUCCAUUUACAACAAGGACCAUAUAUCCAUUUCUCAGACUACAGAGAAGUACAGUUUUCUAUUUAUGAGGUAGAACACAUGAGAAAUUUUAAUCUCACUGUUCACCUCAAACCUUCUAUAACAUGAAAAACUGGAGAAAUGGAGCACAGGAACUAGCAACUCCUAUUUGAAGUUUAUCAGAUGUCACCGAAGAAACAGCAUAGAAACAAACAGUUAGAACGCAUUUUGUUGGAAACUAAAGAGGUGCCGACGCACUUGUUUUGGAAUAGUCACUUCAAUCAUAUUACCAUAAAUCUAGGAGUUCAUUUAUAUAACUAUGUCUGUGACCAUAAAAUACCCAAUGAGCUCAAAGUUUGAUUUUCCUUUGAUUUCAUUUUUUGCCAAUUUAGGAAGUAAGGCAGUAAGCAGCAAUCAAAACAAGGAUGAAAUCACCAGAAUGGAUACACAUGACAGCUAUUUAGCACUUCUCACAAUCAAUGAAGACACAAUUUCUUUUCCAAUUAAAAAGAAAAUCCUACAAUCUAAAAUCUAAGUUGUUUUUUUUCUAGAAACUGGGAUUUGACCAUAAUGUAAAUGAUAUAAAGCCCUUAGACAUUACCAAAAAGAAUUAAAAGAGUAGGAUUAUGGCAUGAUAUUGUUCUAACUAUUUUUUCAGACUGCAAGCUCUUUAUACCCCCUUCAAGCUUCCUUUAUCAGUGUGAUCUAUUCAACAAUAAUAAAUAACCUAGAUCAAGUACUUGAUAAAAGAACCUCUUCAGCUACUCACAAAAAUGAGGUAGAUAACUUGAAGAUUUCCUACACCUCAAACGAAUUUAAAAACGAAAACAGGAAAAUGGUUAAGAUGAAUAUACCUUUUAUCAAUGGAUAAAAUAAUAUAGAUGUGGAAGAACUACUGAGAAAUCUGCCAAUGCAAUAUUUCUUUCCCUCAUCCUAUCCUUCAUGGCAUGUAAGUUACUGAUUUUAAGAAAACUCAUAUCAUAAGUGCAUCUAUUAUUAGAAGUGCAUCAGCUGUAUGCGGUUAAUAUUCAAUUCGUUCAGAUCUUAGAUAGCAAAAAUAGUUUUUAAUAAAAUGAAUAUCGCAAUACAAGCAACAAUACAAAGAAUCAUUAGUUUCAGCACUCACAGGAACAACAGAGUAGAAACCAUUUGGUAUUGGUUCAGAAAGUGUUCCAGUUUUCCAGAAAAUCUGGGAAGCAGUCUGAGAGGACAACGCAUUAUAUUCUCUUUCAGUUAGUUCCUGAUUCCUCAUGAUUUCUUCUUUGCCAUCAAGUGAAACGGAUCCAAACUUCUCAGCAAAUUCUGAAGGCCACCAUGCAGUACUGGGGUAUCUAUGGUCUUGAAGCCCAACUUCAUCUGGUAUCUCUUCCAUUUCCAUAGAUAGUUGAAUUUUAAUACCAUCUCAUACCACUCCUACCCCAUAAAGGAGCUUAUAAACUUCACAUAUGGUUUUAGACAAAAUAUCAUGAUCUAACAGCUUCCUCUACUUGAUCUGUGCAAAGCUGAUGUCAUGGACCUGCGAAGUAAGAAUUGUUUGACUCAAAUUGAUGUGUUUCUUCAGCGAAAGACUAUCUAUAAUUCCUUUUAAUGUAUUGCAUGCACUCAAAAGAAGCAAGGCUGUAGCCAGGAACGCUGCAGAAGAACUCACUAAAGCCUUGGACACACCCUUCCCCUCCAAAAUAAAUGUAGAAAAUAGGAAAAUGAAAAUAAGAGAGAAAUAAGGGGCCAUAACAAAAGUAGAGAAUUAAUCACUAUUUCAAGUAUCAGAUUACUAAAACAGAUGCUCUACUACUUAUGAAGAGUAGUCCUUAUAAGAAUAAAAUUGUCAGGUCCACAGCAAUCAAAAGCUCAAAACCUACAUAAUUCAACACGCUUUUUCCUAACCAGUACUAUAAAAACAAUUAAAAACUCAUAAUCUUAUACUUUUAAUGUGAUUUUCAGGACGACUAGAAUGGAAGUGGAGUAUAAUGAUCCCGUUGUACAAGAACAAGGUGAUAUCCAAACUUACAAGUUACAACCACUAUAGGGGUAUCAAGCUACUAAAGCACACUAUGAAAGUUUGGGAGAGGGUCAUAGAGAUGAGGAUGUGGGGGUAUGGUCAUCUCCGAGAACCAAUUUGGAUUCAUGUCAGGGCGGUCAUCUACAGAAGUCAUUCAUUUACCUUGUAAGGAGACCGUUGGAGCUGUACAGGAUAGGAAGAAAGACUUGCAUAUGACCACGUCCCUAGGGAGGUUCUAUGGAGAUGUUUGGAGCCUAGAGGUGUACCGGUGGCUUAUAUUUGGGAAACUAAGGACAUGAACAUGUAUGAUGGUGCCAAGACCCGUAAGAACAUUGGGAGGUGACUCGGAAUACUUUUAAAUUGUGGUGGGGUUGCACCAAGGUUCAACUCUUAGCCCGUUUCUGUUUGCCUUUGAGGACGUGAAGAUGUGGGCGCUUGCACCAGUGAGGAGGUGUGAGAGGUUGGCUAUAGCGAGUGCCAAGAGAGGUAGAGGUAGGUUGAAGAAGAACUGGUGGAGGUGAUAUAGCAAGACAUGGCACACCUAUGGCUUACUGAGACAUGAUCCUAGAUAGAAAGGUUUGGAUAUCGAGAAUUAGGGUAGAAGAUUAGUGGGUAAUUGUCCGUUGUAGCACCUUUAUGUGGCAGAGAUAGGGGGCUAUCUCUUCCCCUUUUCUCCUUAUCAGUAGUAUUCCUAUUUAGUACUUGCGUAGUAUCUUCAACUUCAUUUUUAUUGUUACCUGUUGUUUCUUUGCUUGUGUCUAUCUUGCCACUUCGUUGUCGUUCUCUUUUCUCUUUCUAGCAUGUCUUGGUAUCUUGCUUUGUUUCUUGCUAUAGUGUUUCAUAUUAUUUUUUUCUUGCAACCCUACUUAGAUUUCUUUUUUUCUUUUGAGCAGAGGAUCUAUGAGUAACAGCCUCUCUACUGCCACAAAGGUAGGGGUAGGGACUACGUAAAUCCUACUCUCCCUAGGCCCUACUUGUGAGAUUAAGCGAAAUGAUCAAGUUUGAAUUAUUUCUCUAUCUACAGAUCUUGGUACUUUUUCGUUCAAGUAAAAAGAUUGGGCAAUGUAUUAAGAGGAGAAGGACCUAAUCUAGGUGAAAUGUAUUAAAGACAAAUCUCAACAAGUGUUGAAAGGAGAUAAUGAGAUCAAAAAGAGAUAAAGAGGUUAUUUUGAUUAAUUGUUUAAUCCGGACCACAAAAACAACAUUUUGGAUCUCCAUACAUCUCACUGACGGAAACAUUAACUACACUCACAGAAUUAGGCCGACAGAGUUAAAGGAUUCUAUGAAAAAUAUGAAGAUUAAAAUGCAAUGUCCCAAAUGGAAUCCACAUACAGAUCUGGAAGUGUCCCGUGAGAGAGUGGAGUCGGACGGCUUGCUAAGUCAUUUAAUGUCGCUAAGAAAUGGUAGGGUGCGAACAAGUGGAGAAAGAGUACCCUGAUUCUAUUUUAUAAGAACAAAGAAGACAUUCAAAGUUGCAAGAAUUAUCACGGCAUUAAAACUUUGAGCCACACGAUGAAACUUUAUGUGGCGAUAAAACAUAUAUGUAGGGACACUAAAAGAGUGAAAAGAAUCUGUUUGGAUCUAACCUAGGUAUAUCUACAACAAAGUCUAUAUUCUUGCUAAGAAGAUAAUGGAAAUUUAUCGUGAGAAGAAGAACGAUCUACACAUUAUGUUCAUUAAAUUGGAGAAAGUAUAUAAUAUAGUAUCAAGAAAGGUUCUUUUGUGGGUGUUGGAGAAUAAAGUAAUUCAUAUUAGAUAUAUAUAAAAGACGAGUCAAAAAAAUAACGAAUUACAAUGUGGAUUUAUAUUAUCAUUUCUAUUUGACAAUCUAAACUGUUGCAUCUGCAUUCAAGUGCUUCAAGAACAUGAUUACCAAAAAACAAGAAAGAUCAACUUCCAACUUCCAAAAGACAUCUGAAAUUGCAUCUCAAGUACACUUAACUGUGAAAUGCACCAAUAUUAACUCUCACUAUCUGCUGCUCCUAAUAAUUCGUACAAUUGCCUACACCAACUUGAUCAAACAAUUGGCAAACCAACCAGUUUACACGUUGAGCUACACAAAACACCCUCAUGCUUAGAGUUUUAUAAACCAAAUUCACAAUCAAUAAGAAUAUAUCCUUCCUAACUAAGAAUUGCCUAAAAAUCGCCACACCAAAACAAACGACUCAACCAAUCAACUAUACCCUCAGGCAGCUAGGCACAUCCAAAUUACUACAGUGCUCAAAUGUUUUAUCCCAUUGGAUUACUUUUACACUGCUUUUUUGCAAUUUUCAGGACCCUAGCAAGAACAUCAAUUUCCUAAUUCAAAAUUUCCCUCCAUCACCAAACUUAAGAUCAUCUAGGUUCUAACUUCAAGUGCUGCACACAAGCUAACAGCUUGAUCACCAAUUCAUUUUCCACAAACUGGCAUACAGUAAAUUUCAGCACAAAUACAGCUGUAAUCCAGACACUAAUAUAUAUAGACUAAGGGGUCAUUUGGUAACUGGUUUGGAGGUGAGUUAUGCAGGUAUUAAAUCCUUCAUAAGCAAUACUACUUUUGGUAACUGGUUAAUAGGUAAGUUAUUCAUAUAUAAAAUUGAUACAGUGGUUGGUUUGCAAUUUAGAAAUCCGCAUAACUAAUACAUGUAUGAGUUAUGAGGGAAUCUAUAUAUUAUUUUAUGCACGAUAGAAUGAAAUAAGUAAUACAUAAAUAGCUAAACCCUACAUAACUAAUAUCUACAUAAAAUAAUGCAUAGAUUCUCUCAUAACUAAUCCUUGCAUUGCUAAUACAUACAUAACUCUAACCAACAACCAAACGACCCCCGUUUGGUAGCUAGUAAAGAAGCAACUUAUUCAUGUACUAUUUUUUGCAUAAGUUACACAAUGUUUAGUAGCUAAUUAGGAAAUAAAUUAUACAUGUAUAAAAUUAAUAUGACGUUUGAUUUGUAAUUUAAAAAUCUUCAUAACUAAUAGAUGUAUAAGUUAUGAGGGAAUUGGUGUAUUAAUCUUAUGCAAGGUAGAAGAUGGAACAAUUAAUACCAGCAUAACUAAUAUGGCUUAACUAAUACAUGCAUAUUUCUAACUAGCUACCGAACAACCCCUAAUAUUACUCCCUCCAUUCCAAUUUAUAUGGCAUUUUUCACUUCCUAAAAUUCAAUUUGACUAAUAUUUGAAGCUAAAUUAGAUUUCUUUUUUUUUAUGACAAGGGAAACCCGCAGCAGCUACCUUUGGGUGCGCAUAGGGUAAAAUUCCGCUCCUAUGCAAUAGCUCGCAAACCACGUAGGAAAGGUAAUAUGCACUAGGAAAGCCUGGUGCAACGAGCUCGACCCAGAAGGUGUUACCCCUUGCUUUUGCUGGCAAGGGGUUUCGAACUUGAGACCUCCAACAUGGAAGUCCCAAGCCCAGUUGCAAUUUUUCUAAUGUCAAAUAAGAUAAAUUAUAUAGUUCGAAUCUCAUAAAAACACAAAGUGUCACAUAAAUUAGUACGACGCAGGGGAGUAACAUUUUAGCACGCAUUGCAUUGGGGAAAUAUUACUCCCUCUGAAGCUAAUACUGUAUCAGUUGGGACGGAGUAACAUUUAGCACCAGAAUUGUAUAAAAUUGAACAAAAAAAGAGCUACAAUAUACAGAAAUGCGAGCAUAUAAUGUAACUAUUUACGAAGAAAUCGAAGAAGUAAAAGCAAUUAACAGAAGUGUGCUCGGAGACUUUACCGGAAUUCAGCAGAUCUUAAGGAAGUGAAAAUCUGCAGGUAAUAGAGUAGCAAUGGACAAAUAGCAUUUGAAUCGCUAUAUAUCGUGAAGAGUGAAGAGAGAGAAAUAGAGUGAUGCAAACUGAAACGGCGGCUUGGAUUACUUAGGAAAAUAAUAUCAUUGAAUUUAUAUUGAAUACAGGAAUAUGUGUCUUAAUUUAAUUCGUUAUAUUUAAUUUUUGUUGGGAAUUGCUUCCUUAUCAUAUUAUAAAGUAGUGACUUGAUUAAAUAUAAAAAGAUUGGAUAGCAAGAAUAAGAGUGUGUUGCUUUUGUAUUGCCUAGUAUCAAUGUCUAACAAUGGUGUUAAAACUAUUAUUAAUAUAGGUUACACAAAUAAAUGUCUAACAACCAAUAGAAAAACUUCAUUUGAGCUCUAAACUAUUAUGACUAAUGAUAAUCGUUCACAUGAAAUUAUCGUUAGUAGUGUCAGCUAAUAUUCCUUUGUUAUGAUAGGGAAUUGCAAAUGUGUGUGGCCUACAACAAUAAGAACAUCAAUGACAAAUAAUCAUCCGACUAAAUAUCUUUUUUGAAUAAUAUUUUCAUUUGUACCAACACAUGUACACAUAAUGUAUUUGUAGGGGAAAAAGCUAUGAUGAAGAAGUUCUUGCAUGUCAAGCCCAGGGUCUAUCCCAGCCUUUGUAUCCACGUAGAUAGAAGUAAAAUCUGCAUAUAUUCUAUUCUUUUCAGAUUUUACUUGUGAAAUUUCAUUAAAUAUGUUAUUGUUAUUAUUAUAUCCCAAGAAAACAAAUUUAUACACAUUAAUUAAAAGAAAAUGACCAAUUCUUUUAGUAAUACAGUAAAACCUCACUAGAUUAAUAUAGCUGAGACUAUAAAAUAUUACUUUAUUUUUGUAGGGGUAUUAUUUAAUCGAUAUAUUGAUAUUUAUUAAUUUAAAGAGUGUUUUGAGAUUCAACCUUCUAAUACUGGGAUAACAAGAGCUUACAACAUGUAUUAUUGCAAUAGAUUUUAUCAUAGAAUAAUAAAAGGUUAUAAAGUGGGAUAAACUAAUCUAGAAAAGAUUAAUGUUUUGGUUGCUAUCAAGUUUGCACUCCUGGCUUGGACAAUAAAUGUUCAGCGAGCAAGAGACAAUAGCAAAUUAUUUUCGGCACUGCAAAUUUUGUUUAGAGGAUGAAAUCUCAGAGAAUUUGAAUGAGCCCACUUGUGAAAACGUCAUUCAUGAACUUGAAGUCAUAAUUAAUGAUCUAGGUUACCCCAAUAAAAUGGACGUCAACAACCUAUUAGAUUACCCAAGUGAAAAAUGAUACAUGUUCAGAGAUUCAGAGCUUAGAAGAAAUUGUGAAUAUCAUAAAAAAAAAUGUUGAAGAUGAUACAAUACCUUUAGAAUCAGUUACAUGUAAGGAAACACUUAUCACAUCUAGAACUCUUCACAACUUUAUGGUGCAGUUCGAAAAGACAACACUGAAACUUUUGGAUGCAAUAAGAAAAUGUAGAAAUGAACUUCAAUUAGAUUUAGAGUUUAACAAGACACAAUAACAUCACAUUUCACUAACUUGUUUUAAAUAUAUUUGUUUUUAAAAAAAUUAUUCAUUUAUAAUAUUAAUGAGACCAUAUAUUUAUAUAGAGGUCUUCUGAAAAUAUAUCAUCUUAUUAUUUUAUCAAAUUAAGUAACUUUUUCCAUUAAUCUAAGUCAGGAUCAAAGGAAAAUAUUAUCUUAGAGAAAUUAUCAAUUAUCGAGUAUUAAUUUAGUGAGGUUUUACUCCUAUCUUUUCGAUCCCACAACUCAUUUUCUUCUAUUUUCUUGACCUGUCAAAUCUUUGGUGACGACUGACGAGGUAAGACUUUUAUUCCUUUUCAUUUUCAUGAAAAUGACAUUCAAAAAAACUUUCAAAAUAUUAAUAAUGUAUUACUUUCGAAAAUUAUCAUAUUUUGCAAAGUUAUUCAUUUUUUCUAAUUUUUCAUUCGGCGUGCAUACCUUUUUUGAGGUCCUAAUAAUUUAGAUCUGUGCCUAAGAGUAUUAUAAGAAAACUUAAUUUUUGAACAUUUUUGUAGCAAGUCUAUUAGAAAUAAAAUCAAUAGCAAAAGUUAAAAGUGUUUUUCUAAUUUAAAUUAUUUAUUUUAAAAAUUAAAAUAUUUUAUCAGGCCUCAAGAAAAAAAAAGUGAUUUCUUAUUAAUUACAACAGAAAUUGAAUUUAUCAAAUCGUUUGGUUGUGAUUUGUGAAUAUUUGCUAGAAUCAAAAUAAAUCUAUAGAAAAUCAUUAAAUUAUUUAUGUUAGAAGGUGGGUUGUAAUAUAUUACCCCAAGAUUAUAAUUCCUAAUAUUUUUUAAAAUUAGAAUUAGUGACCUAUUUCCGAAAAGAACCCCAUUUGUAACAUAUAAGGAUCGUUGACAUUGUUGUAACAUGUGGUAUUCUAAUUGAUUAUUUUUUUCUACGUUUUUAAAGUUGAGUUCAUCACACUGAUUUACAUAGACGAGUUAUAUCUUUUAUUUGAUUCGCAAGCUAUUGCAUAUGAGCGAAAUUAUUUAGCGUAUAUUCAAGAUAAUAAAAUUUUCUACCGUAUAACAAAAUCUCAAAAAAUUGGAUAAAAUCCAUUUUUAAGGCUAAUCAUAUGCCUUAAUCACCGACAAUAUUCCUACUUUUUUAUACUCUUAAUUUUAAACAUCACAAAACCAUGUAGGUAGAUGAUGAAGUAUUUAUUUGGAUCUGACACACUCAUUAAAAAUAUAUUUAUUGAUAUAAUUAUUUUAUGAUAUUAUCCUUAUUAAUUGAUAUUUUAGUUAGAUAUUAAAUAAUAAUCUGAGGAAUGAGUAAUUAAUAUAAGGAUAAAAUAUAAGAAAAAAUAAUUAUAUUUUCUUGAUAUAUUAAAAGUGAAAAAUAAAAAUGAAAAAUUAUUUUUAAAAUAACAAAUAAAUAAAAAGCAUAAUAUAUAACAUUAGAUUUUAAAAAAAAUCAAAUUAUUAUAAUAAAAUGUCGUUAUAACGAGUAAUUAUUAAAAAGAGGCUUGUGGAUAAAAAGAUGACUUUUUAUUUGGCAAAAAGUGUUGUUAUUACACAAAACCAUGUAGAAUGAUGAAGUGUCCAAAAACUCAAGAAAUUAUAACACAUUUAUGAUUAAUAUUAGUAAUACAUCAAUGAUUAAAUGGACAAGUUGGGGAGUCACAAAAAUAUAAAAUGACUAGCUAGGAUGACUUUUGUGAGGAUGAGGGCCCUUCUCCUCCCAUCCCCACACUCUUUAAAUAAAGAAAAAGAUUUUAUAAUCUUUUGGUAAUUUUUUUUUAAAAAUAAUUCAACAUCCUUUAAAUUAUUGUUACUAAUAUUUAAAUGCUAUCUUUUUUCUAAUAGUUCAAUUUAACAUUCUUUCGUUAAAAAAUUACAUUAUAUAAUUAAGUCCAUAAAAUUGAUAAGGGGUAAACUUAGAUUGUUUUUUUCCCCCCUCAAAUGAAGACACUUAAUUAAAGUUUUCCGUUUCAUAUUGGAAUUUUGCUAAUGACAAAAAUAAAUACGAGAUAAUUUUAUAAUUAAAAGAGUAGAAAUGGACAAAAAAUAUAUAACGUGAGGACAAAAUUGAAUAACUUUGAAAUAUUUUAUCGUUAAUAUUUUUUUUCUUGUGAACUUUUUACUCAUAAUUUAAAAAAUGCUUACCUUACUCCUACCUCUUACGUCGUAAAAAUAAAAAUAUUAUUUCUCAAAUAUAUUCAACUUAAAUAAUACAAAUAUAUUAUUAUUAUCAUAGUAAAUUUAGAUAUUUUUGGUCAAAUAAAUGUUAUCACAUGAUUUAUGCCUAUUAAUCACGAGGCAAAUUGAAAUGCAUAAUAACUGAAGUAAACGCUAGUCAAAAGAAACGUAUUGAUUCUUCUUACAUAACUAACUACAAGACUUAAUUAUUUUAUUAAAAAAAGCAAAUUGGAUUUUUUCCAUUGAAGCAAAGCUCAAAACUUGUUCAAUUGGAGAAUCCAAAAAAACUUUAUUCUUUAACUAAUCUCUGUUUCUCUUUCUUAUCUCAUUUCUCACUUUUUUUUUCUUUUUUUCUGAAAUUGUUUUUUUUAUAUAGUUAUUUUAAACACUUAAAUUCAAUCAUUCAGCCAAGGAAAAGAAUUAUUUCAAGUCAAGAUCAUCUAUUUUCUAAAGGUACACUGUGUUUUUUACUCAGUUUUAAUUUUUAUUUAUGUUAUUGCAUGUGUUGUUUUUCUCUGUUUUUUUUUUUUUUAGAAUUUUUAGAAUUCUGCUGGAUUUAUAUGCUUAUUACUGCUCCAUUGGAUAUUUUUUUUUUCUGGGCUUAUGUAGCUGAAUUUCAAGAAUUCUUCAAGUUUCAAUCUUUCCAACAAAGUUUGUAAGAUUAUUUUUUUUCCUUUCCAGAAAGUUUUUUUUUGGGAAAAAGAGGUUAGUACUAUCCUCUUAAAGAAAAAUUUUACAAAAAAAAAAAAAUGAAUUUGAAAAUAAAAAGGUAAUUUUUUAGUUGAAUUUCAAGAAUUCUUCAAGUUUCAAUCUUUUUAAUAAUCAAGCUAUUAAAGGAAAAGUUACAACAAAGUUUGUAGGAACAUUUGUUGGGUUUUUCUAUAAAGUGUUGAUUUGAACUUUUUUUUUUUUUUGGGAAAAAAAAAAUUACUACCUCUUUUUGGAAGAUUUUAAAAACCUGAGUGUGAAAUCUUGAAAAAGAUAGUAACUUUUUUCUUUCCUUCAAAAAACAGUUGAAACAAACACUUUUUUUUAAAAAGCAAAACUAAUUUUUGCAAAAGCUCAAAAAUUUCUUUUGUGAGUUAUGUUGUGCUAGGAAAUAGAGGUUAUGGAGUUUGGAGAAGUUGGCUAGUUAUUUGAAGGAAAGUUUAGAUUCUAAAUGGCUAUCCAAAUUAAGUUUCUUGAUUUUGCCUAUGAAAAUUGAAAAUUAUGAAGUCUCUUUAUUUAUUCAGGUUAAAGAUUUGUAAUGUCAAUGUAGUUAUAUGAUAAUGUGAAAGAAAAGCCAAAAGUAUCUAGUUUUGAAAUGAAUUGGACAUGAAUAGAGUGGAAUUUUGUAUAAUGGAGUCAUAUAGUUGAUUCUAAGUAAUUCGGAACUCGGGCUACCAAGUCAUGUAGAACUCAGUAGUUUUGGCUAGACCUUGUAUUUGUGUAUAAAAAUAUACUUAAUAUGUAUAAAUAAUUUAUACAAAAUCUAGUAAGUUGCCUUUUCUAGAAUCUAGACUCAAAAUCCUAGCUCCGCUUCAGGGAGCACCUUGGUUGGAAGUUCGAGUCAUAACUAUCAGGUAGGAAGUUUGGCGGGGUGGAGUUUACCAUAAAAGAUUUAUCUACUUGGAUCACGCCAUCAAGUCAAUCUUGAUAGUCCGAAUAUGAGAAGUGUCUUAAUCGCAUUGAUGAAUGAAUGAUGUCCUCAAGAUUUUAUAGUUAGGCUUGUAAAAUGUAUGUUUCUCUUCACCUGCUUUCCUCUUCAAUCUUACUGUUAUUGGCCAAUGGAAUUGUUCUGAAGACCGACGUAUGUUGCUUGGACUCUUCUGCCAGACCUGUAUCAAAUUCUCCAAAACUGAACUACUUUUAGAGGAACCGAGAUACACUUUCCGGUAUAUUUGAAGAGUGUCUUAAGCAACAUAGUUGAAGGCACUCUUAUCGAUCUAAAGUGUAUUUCACUUUGAACUAUUUACCCAAGGUUUCCCCAUAAAGUUCUCCAGAAAAAUGUUUCUGAUUUUUGUUGAUAGUAAUUGUGAAUAAGCAAGUAGGGGCCGAGAGGUUGCGAGAUUUCAGGAAUAGGUUGACUUUCUUUCAUUUUGUUAUGAAAAUGAAAGUGGUUUCGUUUUUUUAAAUCUGUAUCUAUUUACAUAGAGUUGAUCUAAGCUUUGAAGACGACACAACAUCAUUUCUAUAAGGACUUAAGUGAUCUUGGUUUGUUGUUAUAGUUGAAAAUGAAGGCACUGGUGUAACAUCAUAGAUUAGUGGCCCCUGUUACGUUAACGUUUUGUUGUUGUCAUACAUUGAAGAAAUAUUCACAAUUUGAUUGUUGAGUGUGCAGAAAUAAGGCGGUGCCAAAUCAUCACAUGGAGGGCAAGCAAUUGAAGUUUAAUCAACCUCUUUUGUCAGUAAGACGAAUCUCUCCGGCAAUGAUUUCCCAGAGAGAUGAGAAAAUGAAAUUUGACAAUUCCUUUCCCACUAUGACACAUCCUCCUCAUUACAAAUCAGAACUGAACUCAGGCUUAGUGGUAAUGCCAGGAACUGUUCCUUUCCUCUGGGAACAGACCCCCGGAAAGCCAAAGGAUGAGAGCAGACCACAAACUCAUUUCACGGAAAAACCUCCUACCGCACCAAAGCUUCCACCUGGGUGGAAGUUAAGAGAUAACCAGGAUUUCGAUCAAACAGGAAAAUUUCAAAAUGCCAUGCUGAGUUUCACUUCUUCUUCAGAUGAAAAUGUAAAGAAGAUGGAGAGUUUUGACAGCUCAAAAGAGAUGAUGCACGAUAAGGAAAAGAUUGAAUCGGAGGAUGACAAUGAAGCCUAUUUGGAUGCCUUGGAUACACUUUCAAGAACUGGAUCAUCCUUCCUAAAUUGUAGUGUAAGUGGCUUAAGUGAAUUUGAUGAGCCGAAUGCAAAACAGUCUCGAACUUCUUCAACGAAUCCACAGACUAAGGAUUUCAUGAUGGGUCGAUUUCUGCCAGCAGCUAAGGCAAUGACUUCAGACAAGACUUCAGAAACACCUUACUAUGUCCGCAAGAAGCAACCACCUGUCGAGGAUCAACGAAGACAGACGAAGAAUAUAAUAAAUGGGGAUAGACAGCCUCAGUUGCGCUACGGACCUAGUUUUACACUUUAUCAUUCCCAAGCUCAUGAUUAUAAAGAAGAAGAGGAAGAAAGUGAUGAUAACUGUUAUGAAAGAGGAAAUUUAUCUACUAAUAUUUGUGGAUUGUUGCCUCAUUUUUGCUUGAAAAGUUCUUUUCGUCUUCUGAAUCCUGUACCUGCAAUGAGUGCUAGACCUCGAAUACCCGUCUCUCCUGUCAGUAGAACACAAACUGGAUCCUUUUCUACUACUUCUUUUAGCGGAACAGAAAAUGAGGUAUGAACUUCCAUUCUUUUCUUCCUGGCACUCAUUUCUUUGCUUGAUCCACUCGCGUUGUGUUAACUUUCUUGCCUAGAUUUACUUUGACUAAACUAUAAUUAUAAUUUUUGUUAUCUUUUACAGCGGUCAACAUCUGAUGUAAGUGAGCAAAAGUCUGUCGUUGGAUCCAUAACAACUCAACUACACGAGGAUAAGAACGAUAUUAAGGGCAGGACCUAUUCAAUUUAUGCCAAUGACCCUUACAAUAAUAUGACAAUGCUUGGCACGAACGCAGAAGAAAAUAAUCCCGAGCUCAAGUGCUUGUCUGAUCAGAACAAUAGCAGGGAAGUAGAUGUUUUAACUCCUUGUGUAGAGAAAACUCUGUACAUAGAUAUUGUGCAUAAAACAGAUUCGUCAGUUAAGAUAUCAUGUUCUCUAGAUAAAAAACCAUCUAAGUUACAACACGAGGACGUUGAGAUACUUGAACAGAUGAUAAAACAAAAACCAUUUGUAGAUUCUUCACUUUAUUCGUCUGAGACUUCAUUAAAGCCAUAUCUUCAAAGGAAAGCUGACUUCAAUCCACCACGUUCAGCGGAAAAACUGAACAAUGGAAGGGAGAUGAAAACACAAACAUCUACCAGUCAAGCUCAAGAUUGUUACCAAGAUGCAAUGACCUUAGCAAAGUCUGACAGUGAUGGUUUAGAAAAAAACAGGAAGCCAAUUCCGAGAAGAGAAAAGUUAGAGAACUCAUGCAAAGUGCACCCAGAGUUUCUUGCUCCACCACCUUUACCGAAAUCUCCAUCAGAUUCCUGGCUUUGCCGCACUUUGCCUUCUUUAUCCACAAAGAAUGCAUCUUCACGGGCUUAUAUCGGAACAGGACUAAAUCCUAAUAACCAGUCUUCUAAGCCACUGCCUAGUGAUUCCAAGUGGGAAACAAUUGUUAAAAUGACAAAGAAGCAACAGCAUCUGUGAAACUCUUGAGGUAAAUUCUUUAUUUCUUCCAAUGUACAAGUUUAUGCAUUUGUCUUCCCCCUCCCCCUCCCGGAGUUCUGAAAGAGUCCCACAUCGCAGCCCUUUAAGGGAUGAGUGGUCUCUUUAAUUUGACUUGGGAAAUCCUCACCUCUUGAGCUAGCUUUUUGGAGUUAGGUCCAAUAUCCAUUUUCUUACGGGAGUGAAGGGAAUGAGUUAUGACCCCUCCCCCAAUUCCAGUUUAUGCAGCAACAUUUUUGUCAAACUUCCGUUUAAUCCUUGAUGAGAAGCUUUUAUAGCCACACAAAUAUCAUGACAUGUUUAUGAUCACAAGCCUCAAAAGUCUUCAUUUAUUUCUUGAACUCCGUGGCUAUUGUUUACGUGCCUAUUGUUUAAGUCUUUCAUUUAUUUCUUGAACUCCAUGCCUAUUGUUUAAGUGUUCCUUAUUUUUUCCAGUUUCUUAGUUUCUCUGCUUAGAAUUUCACCAUUCUGUCAGGAACUUGGGGCUUUGACAUAUAUAGAAGAAGCUCAGUAGAAGAUGUAAAGGCUUUUCUGAACUCCUCUGGUUUAUUUCUCAUGCUUUCUUGUGCAUAUCGAAAAGUAAGAUUGGCGCGAAGAUGGCCGAUAAUAUAUUGUUUGCUGUAUAGACUCUAUACUCCCUUCAGUAAUGGCUUUAUAACUGCAAACUCAUAGCAUGUAAUUACAUGAUAGAAUAAGAGUUUACUGUACAGAUGAUCCUGAAAUUCAAUGUAAACUUUAAUCCCUUGCAUGUUGGGAUUUCUUGUUUCUGAGAGAGGUAAAUGUAUUGAUAUUUGGACGAAAACUCGAAACUUAAGUGGAGAAAGGUAGAGGGACGUAACCUUACUCCUACUUUGUGAAGGAUUGCCAAAUGGCACAAAUUGCCAGCAUCUGUCUGAUAAUAAAUCAUAAUGUGGAGCUAGAUUUUGAGUAUAAAUUGAACAUGUUCAUAUUUUUCUUUCUGUAUGUACAGUCAUGCUAUUAAUAGUCAUCAUUUGACUAAUUAUCAAUCUUCUAUAAGCAAUUUAGUUAUCUUUAAUGCAAAAGUUUAAUGAACUAACAGUGAUUAUUUGUGAAAUGGAAUACAAAUUCUGCGUAGAAUUGUUGGAAUUCUUAUUGAAAAUACUUGAUCGCGAACAUUGUGGGGAAUUCUUUAAAAUUCCAAAGAAAAAAAUCAAGCACUGAUGUUGCGUCAAAUUAACUGAACAUCAAAACAUCACAUGACACAACCCCUCCUUGUUCUGCGAGUACAAAGCACUUUGAUAUACGUAUCUAUCUAUAUAUAAUAAGCUACAAUGCAAAGAUUUUUAUAGUAUUUAGUAACUAUCUUGUUAGCUUUCAACCAAAANNNNNNNNNNNNNNNNNNNNNNNNNNNNNNNNNNNNNNNNNNNNNNNNNNNNNNNNNNNNNNNNNNNNNNNNNNNNNNNNNNNNNNNNNNNNNNNNNNNNNNNNNNNNNNNNNNNNNNNNNNNNNNNNNNNNNNNNNNNNNNNNNNNNNNNNNNNNNNNNNNNNNNNNNNNNNNNNNNNNNNNNNNNNNNNNNNNNNNNNNNNNNNNNNNNNNNNNNNNNNNNNNNNNNNNNNNNNNNNNNNNNNNNNNNNNNNNNNNNNNNNNNNNNNNNNNNNNNNNNNNNNNNNNNNNNNNNNNNNNNNNNNNNNNNNNNNNNNNNNNNNNNNNNNNNNNNNNNNNNNNNNNNNNNNNNNNNNNNNNNNNNNNNNNNNNNNNNNNNNNNNNNNNNNNNNNNNNNNNNNNNNNNNNNNNNNNNNNNNNNNNNNNNNNNNNNNNNNNNNNNNNNNNNNNNNNNNNNNNNNNNNNNNNNNNNNNNNNNNNNNNNNNNNNNNNNNNNNNNNNNNNNNNNNNNNNNNNNNNNNNNNNNNNNNNNNNNNNNNNNNNNNNNNNNNNNNNNNNNNNNNNNNNNNNNNNNNNNNNNNNNNNNNNNNNNNNNNNNNNNNNNNNNNNNNNNNNNNNNNNNNNNNNNNNNNNNNNNNNNNNNNNNNNNNNNNNNNNNNNNNNNNNNNNNNNNNNNNNNNNNNNNNNNNNNNNNNNNNNNNNNNNNNNNNNNNNNNNNNNNNNNNNNNNNNNNNNNNNNNNNNNNNNNNNNNNNNNNNNNNNNNNNNNNNNNNNNNNNNNNNNNNNNNNNNNNNNNNNNNNNNNNNNNNNNNNNNNNNNNNNNNNNNNNNNNNNNNNNNNNNNNNNNNNNNNNNNNNNNNNNNNNNNNNNNNNNNNNNNNNNNNNNNNNNNNNNNNNNNNNNNNNNNNNNNNNNNNNNNNNNNNNNNNNNNNNNNNNNNNNNNNNNNNNNNNNNNNNNNNNNNNNNNNNNNNNNNNNNNNNNNNNNNNNNNNNNNNNNNNNNNNNNNNNNNNNNNNNNNNNNNNNNNNNNNNNNNNNNNNNNNNNNNNNNNNNNNNNNNNNNNNNNNNNNNNNNNNNNNNNNNNNNNNNNNNNNNNNNNNNNNNNNNNNNNNNNNNNNNNNNNNNNNNNNNNNNNNNNNNNNNNNNNNNNNNNNNNNNNNNNNNNNNNNNNNNNNNNNNNNNNNNNNNNNNNNNNNNNNNNNNNNNNNNNNNNNNNNNNNNNNNNNNNNNNNNNNNNNNNNNNNNNNNNNNNNNNNNNNNNNNNNNNNNNNNNNNNNNNNNNNNNNNNNNNNNNNNNNNNNNNNNNNNNNNNNNNNNNNNNNNNNNNNNNNNNNNNNNNNNNNNNNNNNNNNNNNNNNNNNNNNNNNNNNNNNNNNNNNNNNNNNNNNNNNNNNNNNNNNNNNNNNNNNNNNNNNNNNNNNNNNNNNNNNNNNNNNNNNNNNNNNNNNNNNNNNNNNNNNNNNNNNNNNNNNNNNNNNNNNNNNNNNNNNNNNNNNNNNNNNNNNNNNNNNNNNNNNNNNNNNNNNNNNNNNNNNNNNNNNNNNNNNNNNNNNNNNNNNNNNNNNNNNNNNNNNNNNNNNNNNNNNNNNNNNNNNNNNNNNNNNNNNNNNNNNNNNNNNNNNNNNNNNNNNNNNNNNNNNNNNNNNNNNNNNNNNNNNNNNNNNNNNNNNNNNNNNNNNNNNNNNNNNNNNNNNNNNNNNNNNNNNNNNNNNNNNNNNNNNNNNNNNNNNNNNNNNNNNNNNNNNNNNNNNNNNNNNNNNNNNNNNNNNNNNNNNNNNNNNNNNNNNNNNNNNNNNNNNNNNNNNNNNNNNNNNNNNNNNNNNNNNNNNNNNNNNNNNNNNNNNNNNNNNNNNNNNNNNNNNNNNNNNNNNNNNNNNNNNNNNNNNNNNNNNNNNNNNNNNNNNNNNNNNNNNNNNNNNNNNNNNNNNNNNNNNNNNNNNNNNNNNNNNNNNNNNNNNNNNNNNNNNNNNNNNNNNNNNNNNNNNNNNNNNNNNNNNNNNNNNNNNNNNNNNNNNNNNNNNNNNNNNNNNNNNNNNNNNNNNNNNNNNNNNNNNNNNNNNNNNNNNNNNNNNNNNNNNNNNNNNNNNNNNNNNNNNNNNNNNNNNNNNNNNNNNNNNNNNNNNNNNNNNNNNNNNNNNNNNNNUAUAUAUAUAUAUAUAUACAUACAUAAUAAUGUUGAUACAAUGAAGUAUACAUUACAGAUGAUUUUUUUCAAUCCCAACUAGUUCAAAUACCCUCUAAUCAGUUCCAAAGUUUAGAUGUGAUCUCCUCUCAAUAUUUCAACUUUCGAGUCUUUUGAUUUAAUUUCAUCCGAAACGCUUCAAGUUUGACACGUUAAUUUUUAAAGUCGAACUUUUGUCUAAUUUUCCGUUACUAUAUCCAACUUCGAACUUGUAUAUUUAAAGUUUGAAACUUUAGACCAAUUUUGAUGCGACUAAACUUUAAAAACUUUAUUAAAUUUGGCUAUUAAUUAAAUAGAGCAUCUAUUUUCCACAUCACAAGAGAGAGCCCACUAGAAGCCCAGCGGGUCCGUGAUUAUGCUGCGUUCACAAUCCAGUUGAUCCGGGCCAUCGAACUGUGAUUGAAGUGAAAUUCGCCGGAAAUAUAUCUUGCUCCGGCACCGGCUACAUCGCGUGAGAGGAAUUAUGGCGACGGUUGAUGUGAUCAAGUGUUGUAUGGAUUCCAUUAGACAAGUGAGUAUUCUCUCAAUCCCGGAGUAUUUUCCCGUUAAUCAUACAUUGUUCAAUUUAUUAAAAUUGUCAAGUUUGAAUUGUUUACUCAGUUCUACUACUGAUCAAAUUGAGCAGUCGCAAAUUUAUCUGCUUUGAAGGUUGAACUGCAUCGCUAGAAUUUAGGGAGGAAAUGAUUUUUAGGAAUUGAUAUCUAAGUAGCUAAGGAGUUCAGGCUAGUGUCUAACCAUGCUAAAGAGAUCACGAAUUUCUUUGUUUUAUGAAUAUUUUGGUUAUAUCAACUGUGCUUCAAUCCCAAACUAAAUUGUAUAGGCUACAUGAUUCCUCUAUAUCCAUUCUGCUCUGUUAUAGGCCCAAAGAUUCUGAGAUUCAUCAUAAUAUGUACAUCAGUACUCGGACCGAUAGUCGUUAUGCUUUUCUCAUAGGCAGAUAUAAUGCUCCAAAAUCUUUUUUUGAAACAUAUAUUUUGUUUUAUUGAUUGACAUUCAGUCACUCGACUAUCCUAUUGGGUACCCUGAUCCUCCCACUAACACCAACAAGGUAAUUUACAUGCAGAAAAAUCACCUAAAUUCUGGUUUUGUUGGGAUUCUAACCAUUUUCUUUUGUGAUCCUCAUUCCAGUCUUUUCAACUGCGAAGCCACACACAUGGAUGUUAAUAGUGCCUGAAAGUUUUAUAAUACUUUGGAGAAUAGAUUGAGGGAGAACUUUGAAUUCAUGACAUGUAGAUUUUACAUGUUCUACUUUAUGUUAUGCUUGUGAGGUUUUCUAUUUGGUCGGUUGACUACAUGAUAAAUAAAAUGCAAGGGAGGAAGAAGGAUAGUUUCGUGUUAAUUUGUGAUGGUAGAUUAUAUUGGUAGAAAUAGCUAAACUCAACAAUCACUUCUCCAAUUUUAUUAUUAUUGUCUUCUUAUGUUUAAGAAGGAACAACGUUGAUACCCUAUUUUUUCCCUUUCUAAUUACCGAGGAAACUCCAGGUCGCAUAUACUUAAAGCGAAGGAAAAAGGUCAUAUUCAUUUAAUGCCGUUUCUUUUCCGAUAGAAUUUAGAAAAGAAACAUAUCCUUAUAAUGAGUGUUACAUAGAUUCAAAUGAUAAAAUUAAUGGUUGAUCAUACAAGAUUAAAAAAGAUUAAAGUUGACAAUAUUUGUCGGAAGGUGCAAGUAAUACACAUAGAUCACUUGAGGUGGUUUAGUCAUGUUCUACAUUGGCCUCUGGAGCUAAAAUUACAUGGAAGGAAGUUGUCUCGAAGGAUUCACAAUCUCUUGGGGUCCAUGCAGACCUAGCGAAAAAUAGGACUAACAUGGAAGAACAAGAUCUAUAUAGGCGAUACCAAUUAGUUGGUAUAAUUGUUGUUACACUUUAGGCAUGCUAGUCUAUUUACUUUAGGUCCAAUGUUUUUGAGGAGUCUUAGUCUGGUCAUCUAUGGAAGAAAAUAUUAUUAAUAGUGCUUCUUAAUUUAUUUUUAAUCUAAUUUUUAUGUAACAUCAUACUUCGAUAAACUUAAAUGGAGCAACAUGGGCAACGAAGAUUCAUAUAGCCGAUCCCUACUUGUUUUGGGUUGAAGCCUCGUAAUUGUAGCUCUUGUUGUUGUUAUUAUGAUAGAUUCUAGAAUGUGAUGAAAAUUUAAUCUAGUCUCUUUACCUUCUCUUCUAAUAAAAUAUCCAGAAAAUUAGAGAAUUAGGUCAACUCUACUUUUAUAGAAGGCAAAAUAGUUUAUAUGUUAUUUCUCUUCUGUUUUUCCUCACCUAUGUACUUUUUUUCUAAAAACUAUUUUAUUGCAUGGGGGGAAGGGGGAGGGGAGGAAAGGGGAAGGGAAUGCUAUCACUACUGGGGUUUGAACUCUCCACCUCAACUGUGGAAGGCAGGGAGCUCACCAAGUGAGCGAGUCCUCACCUGUACUAAUCUAUAUAAUAAGCAAAAGGCACUUCUGUACUUGUGUAGUUACUGGAACUUUUCUUUGAAGGCAGCAUGGUGAAUGAUUUUAACUUGAUUUUUCUCCUGAAUUUUGGGGAGCAAUUAGUCAACUUAAAACUUUUUCUAUAUCUUUUUUUGCAGAUAUCAGAUGAAAUUAGAGAUGCCAUAAUUUAUCUGGAUGCAGGGUGUACCGAAAGCUUUGAAUAUGUUGGAGCAUUCUCUCUGUUUUUGGAGCUUGGUGCACAUGCCAUUUGCAGCUUGGAGAAAAUGUCUCCUCUUGAUAAGGUAACAAUAGCUAUACUUAUUUUAGUUGAGUUGGAAUUUGUUGCUUGAAUUAUCUUUUAGUUAAUAUCAUGAUAUAGUUUAAGUUGCAUAAUCACAGAUGCGCACCAAACUCCGUAAGUAGUAGGCUAGUAGCUUCACUUCACAUUGGAAAAGGAAACAUGAUAUGCUUCCACUUCAGGAGAAGUAGUUUGUGUUUGAAAACUGCAUGUUAUUGUUAUGUGUCCUAAAUGUAAUAUGAUUGUAAAUAUUUAGUUUGAAUUGUCAUGAAGAAUUCCUAACUCAGCGUUAACAAUUGCUUGUGAAAAAAAUAAAGGAAGUCCUCAUUAAGAGUUGAAAAAAAAGAAGCUGUAGGCUUUAUUCUCUUUUCUCUCUCUCCCCCCCUCCCAAAAAAAAAAAAAGGAGAGGGAAAACAUUGAUUGAUUUUGUAUUAACAAAAAAUAGCUCCUUGAGAAUAGUUAAGGAACGUAUCACUUACUGUGAAUCAUGCACAUGGCUAGCGUGUAAGCAUCUGCAGUAGAUUAUUGGACAGAAUGUUAAAGUGUUCAUAAAAUUCUUACUACGAAGAAAAGAAAACUGCUAUAUAUAUACACAACCACAAAAAAGGAGCCUCUUGUAUUGAUUCUUUUCCAGUUUUUGAUCUACCUUUGAUUGAACCAGUCGUCAAUGUCUUCCUUGUAGGUGGUUGAUUGGAAUUUGACUUCUGGGCCUGCAAAAAAAAUUGUUGUCAUCACGUCACGGCUUCUAAGUGAUGCACAUAGAUACAUUUUACGUUGCCUGAGUGCAUUUCAGACUCUCUGCAGCUGUGCUAUAUUUACAUGCAUUUCAGAGGUACUUUUUGUGCCCGUGGAUAAAAUGUUCUUCUGAGAUUUUCUACUCAUUAAAUUCGAUAGUGAUACCUGAUAUAUAUUGGUUGUAUUACCUGUUGUUUUGCUUACAUCAACCACAUUAUUCUUUAUUAAAAGAUAAUAUACAUAUAUCCAUCCAUUACGUCUGAAUCAAUUUUAAGCUUUAGGAAAAAUGGGAGACAUGCAGAUCUUUCUUGGUUGGUACUCAGUAUAUAUGUCUCUAUGAAAAUAGAAUAACUUACUGUAAGAUUUUUAACUUUUAUAUGUAUGCUCGUCCAGAAUUUCAUGCAGAUUCUCUUUCCUGUUCCUUUACAAGAAAAAAUGACAACAACAUACCCAAUGUAGUCUCACAAAGUGGGGUCUAGGGAGGGUAGAGUGUACGCAGACCUUAUCUCUACCUCAAGCAAGGUAGAUAGGUUGUUUCUGAUAGACCCCUGACUCAAGGAAAAAGACAAUAGUAGCAGGAGCAGCCCAAAGCAGUUCAGAAGAAGAAAUAAUGAAAGUACAAGAAACAAUAGAACAAGAGUACUAUUACUCAUAUGAUAUAAUAAGCUACACAACACUGGACUACCCACUAACAUUCUAUCUAAUCCAUGUCCUUCAUAUCCAAUCUAAGGUCAUGUCCUCGGUAAGCUGCAGCUGGGUCAUGUCCUCAGUAAGCAGCAGCUGGGUCAUGUCCUGUCUAAUUACCUUUCCCAUUACUUCUUCAGUCUACAACCACCUCUCCUGAAAUCAUCCAUGACCAACCUCUCACAUCGGGACAAUCCGUACACCUCCUCUUCACAUGCCCGAACCAUCUCAGUCUGGCCUCUCACAUUUUGUCCUCCAUUGAAGCCACUCUCGCCUUGUCCUGGAUAGCUUCAUUUCUAAUCUUAUCCUUCCUAGUAUGGUCAGACAUCCAUCUCAGCAUAUUUCAACCACUUUCAUCUUCUGAACGUGAUAAUUCUCAAUUGACCAACACUCCACUCCAUACAACAAUGCCGUUCUAAUUAAUUGAAGGUGAGACUACUAGAUGUUAUCUCAAGAUAUAUUUGUCAUUAUGUACUCUGAUUGUGAAUGAAAGGAUAGUCAUAUUGUUAUUGAAAUAUCCAUCUCAGCAUAUUUCAACCACUUUCAUCUUCUGAACGUGAUAAUUCUCAAUUGACCAACACUCCACUCCAUACAACAAUGCCGUUCUAAUUAAUUGAAGGUGAAACUACUAGAUGUUAUCUCAAGAUAUAUUUGUCAUUAUGUACUCUGAUUGUGAAUGAAAGGAUAGUCAUAUUGUUAUUGAAAUGUGUUGUGGCCAAGGUUAGUUUGUCCUCUUGGUCUUAGUAGGACAAAAGAAAGCUUCCAAGCACUGCUAAGUGAAGGUACUGAGCAUAUUACCUUCACUUAGGGGGGUUCGGCAGAGAAUACAGGAUGGAUAGAAAAGUUUCAAUGGAAAUCAUUUUCUUUCAUCCACGAGUGGCUUCCCCAUUCUAGAUGAAAUUUGCUGGUCACCACAACUAUAACUUAAUUUGUUUAGUUUCACUGAACUCAGUGUUAGACUAUUUGUAAGGCCAUGUUUUCAAGUUAGUUACAGAUAUAAUGGAAAAUUACUUCUAGCCAGGAUAACGUCUUUUUCUUCUGACCUUAUUUCAUGUUAUUGAUGGUCUGUCUCUUUGUAAUCACUGUGUCACUUUUCUAUUAGUUGCGAACAUAGGUUGUCAAUAAAUCCUGAUGAAGCUAAUGUAUCAAAUAAGUUCAAUAUUGGCACUGGAGUUGCUUGUCAUAUCAAAUACUCUCGGUUCACCAACAGAUCUCAAUCAAAGAAGGCUGCACUGUGAACUGAAAGUACUUUUAUCUGUUUUAAGAAAUUUAGUCUAGUGCUUUUGGACUAAUGUCCUACUGCAAUGAUUUCGAGGUUGUCUAUUUUACUGGUAUAUGUUAGGUCUUAAAUAUGUCAUUGGCAUUCCCACCCAAUGUACAUAGGAAAUUGUCACUUAAUAGCUUCUUGUAUGAUCAAUCUGCAAUGUCUUACCUCAAUUUAAGUGUAUGCCCAAAUUCACUUAUUUCAGACAGGUCACUCAGCAUAUCCUGAAUCACCUUUAGGACCGGAUGCAUAUCGUGAAUAUGAAUCUUUGCUUGUCCAAGAUUAUGAGGAGCUUGCCAGAAAGUUUCUGAUGAACUCUAGUCAUACCGGAGAAAGCAUAGUAAAGGAAAGUACGUCCGCUGAAGAUGAAGGAUGGUCACAAUUAACCACCAGGGAAGAGGAGCCUUUUAAUUUCAGUUCUGUUGCAAGUGCACAAAAUUCAUAUGAAGACAGUGUAAUUGACCGGACCGAAGAUGUACGGAAAAAGUUGAAAGUUUCUGUGCAUCACUUCCCUCUGGUCUUGUGUCCUUUUUCACCUAGAUUCUUUGUCUUGCCUUCAGAAGGAUCAGUUGCCGAAGCGUACCUAUCCGCUGAACAUGAUAACUCUAUAAGCUUUGGGUUACCUCCAAUAAGUACUGGGACAACUGCUGAUGGUGAGGAUGUCCCUCCUGGGGCAACUCUUACCGCUCAAUUUCUUUAUCAUCUGGCGGCAAAGGUAAUCAUGCUUUCACUUGUCUGAAAAUUUCUUUACCGAUUUUGAAUGUUCUCUUCUAUCGUGAUUCAUAUAUUGAAAAUAAAAAAGAUGUCCACCAAUUGGCAUCCUUGUUAUCCAGAAUGGUAGUGAAAUUUGACUACACCUUCUCACUAACAAUGUGUUUAGGAUGGCAUAUCUCUGUCUUGGUACAAGCCUCUGCAAUGCACCAUUUAUAUGUAUUGAAUACUACUUGGAUUAUACAAAAGUACUAUAUAAUUGGUAAUUAACACACACACACACAUAACAAACACUAGUUGUUGGAUUCCAUUAUAAAAACAAAAAACAGCAGUUAGAUUUAAGGAUAACGGUCAUUUAGCUGUAAAGUUGUAAAAAGAUGAAAUUCCUAAAGGAAUAAACCUGCUUUCCACUGAAUAUUUAAUUUUAAUAAACAAGAUUAAUUAAAUUAAUAAUAACAGAUGAAAGGUACAACUAAUGUUCUUUAGUUAAAAAGGGAGAAUUUACCAUGUAUUAUGCGACAUUGAGCAACUUUUCCGUCUAUCGGAUUUUUUGUCUAAUCUUACCCCCGCGGCCUUGCCAUCAGGAAAGUCUCAUUUUUUGCCCUUGAUUCUUCAGAGCUCCAAUCUGAAGUUAAUGUUAAACCAUAGUCAAUUCAGAGGUAAAUUUGGACAUGUGGAGGCCACCAAUUUCAUGUUGGAGCUCUGUUAAUGGCAAGAGAGUAUGAGACAAUUUGCUAAUGGUAAGGGUAUGAAAGGACCAAAGGUCUAGUGGAGGGAAAAAUUGAGCAAUUUCUAAUAGUAUUUAUAGGAUCAAGCUUGGACCUUUUCUUCUUUUAAAAAACAUGAGGAUAAACACAAUGUUAAGCUCUUUGUGGAAAUAAAAGGUAAAUAGUGGGACAUUUUCAUUUAGAAAGUAAAAAUGUAUCGCAAUAAUCUAUUAUGGAUUUUGAACAACUGAUAUAUUGAAUUGCAAUCGUGUUAUCUAUGUUUUUUUUAGAUUUUGCCUCAUUCAGCCUGUAUUUUGAAAGCUAAUUUAUUCAAUUUGUAGAUGGACCUGAAAUUUGAGAUAUUUUCCCUGGGUGAUGUUUCAAAAACUGUUGGAAAGCUUCUAACAGACAUGUCAAGUCUUUAUGAUGUCGGUCGACGUAAGAGAUCUGCAGGGCUAUUACUCAUUGACCGCACUCUUGACCUUCUUACUCCAUGCUAUCAUGGGGAUUCACUUGUGGAUCAAAUGUUUUCAUCAUUGCCUCACAGAGAACGGAUGGCAUCCUUGAGUCAAUCUAAAAGCUCCCAAAGCCAGGUUAAACUUGGCCCUGCUUACUUGCAACGUUCUCCCCUCACCGUUCAGAUACCACUUAAUAAUUUCCUAAGAGAGGAUACUUCAAGUUCUUACAACUUUCAGCUGGUGGAAAGCGUUGAAGCAUUUCUCCGUGGUUGGAAUUCAAGAGACUCAACUUCUCAGAUGGUUGAGUUGGUGAAUUUUAGCACUAAACUUAGUGGUGAAAUGUCCUCACAAGAUUUUCAGAGUGACCUUUGUGGUUCUUUCGUCUCUACGGAAAAUUUUCAUGGAACACCGUACCUAGAAGCCAUACUAGAGCGAAGAACAAAAGAUGGGGCUGUGCUGAUCAAGAAAUGGCUGCAAGAAAGCUUACGUCGAGAAAAUAUAUCAUUGAAUGCAAAAAUCCGUCCUGGUUAUGCUUCAAAAUCAGAUCUGCAGACUAUGGUUAAGGCAUUAGCUAAAAGCCAGUCAUUGCUGGCGAAAAACAAAGGAAUUAUCCAGCUAGCAGCAGCAGCACUAUCUGCAUUAGAUGAAUCACAUAGUGCUAAAUGGGAUGCAUUUAGCAGUGCUGAGAAGAUACUGAACGUAAAUGCUGGGGACACAAGCCAAAGUCUUGCUGCUCAAAUUAGUGAUCUCAUAAAUAAAAGUGCGUUAGUUAGUUCACAGGGUAAUAAUAAGAUGGAUGCUCAACGGGGGCUUCUUACUCUACAAGAUGCUCUGCUACUCACAGUUGUUGGAUAUAUAUUGGCAGGUGAGAAUUUCCCAUCUUCUGGGACUGUUGGUCCUUUCUCUUGGCAAGAGGAACAUUUUAUGAAAGAAGCAAUUGUUGAUGCGAUUGUUGAGAACCCAACAGUUGCGAAAUUAAAGUUUCUGAAAGGUUUAACUCAGGAUCUAGAAGCCAACUUUAACAGAAAAUCAGAAGAGAAGAAGGAAGAUCUUUCUAAUACCGAAAGCAUUGAUUUUGAUGAUGACGAUUGGGGUAGUUGGGGUGAUGAAGAUUCUGGAAAAGAUAAAAGAAAAGAGCAAGUGUAUGAUGACAUGCAAUUAAAGUUAGAAUUACGUGAUAGGGUGGAUAAUCUAUUCAAAUUCUUUCACAAAUUGUCCAGCUUAAAAAAGAAUGUUUCAUUCAGAGAGUGGUCACAGUCUCUGAGUAAGUUCAAUGAUGAUCCUUACUCAAACAAAGGACUGCUUUAUAAAGUGCUAUCAAGGGUGUUAGAUAAGCAUGAAGUACCUGGCUUAGAGUAUCAUUCAUCUACUGUUGGCCGCCUAUUCAAAAGCGGGUUUGGGAGAUUCGGCCUUGGGCAGGUAUGAUUCAAUUAGAUAUCAAUAUUUUCAUUGCUAGCCUAAGUUGCUGAUGUGAUUCUGGAAUUUUUGCAGGCUAAACCAAGUCUAGCAGAUCACGAUGUUAUUCUCGUGUUUGUUGUGGGAGGCAUAAAUGGUGUAGAGGUUUGUUUUCCUUGAACUCUUCAGUGCAUUUCAUGUAUCUGCUUUCAUUUUGGUUUAAUGAAUUUGCAACGCACAUAUGCAACAACGGUUAAGAUAUUAGUUAAUAAAGCGAAAAGACUAUAAAACACUGCUAGUAUGCUCGUUGAUGGGCAACCAAGAGUGUGGCCUAGUUGUCAAUGAAGUGGUUGAGAACCCUGAGGUCUUAGGUUCUAAACUCAUCGGAGACAAAAAACACUAGGUGAUUCUUCUCAUCUGUCCUAGCAUUGGUGGACAGAGUUACUUGACAUCGUUGAUGCUAUAUGAAAUAACAGUCCCUCCUUGUUCUAUCACUAUAAAACACUGUUAUCCUUUCUCUUUCAAUUGAAGUAUGCUCGUUGGUGCUACGUGAAAUAACAAUCCCUCCUUGUUCUAUCAAUAGGUUCGAGAAGCUCAGGAGGCAUUAUCCGAGAGCAACAGGCCUGAAGUCGAAUUAAUUUUAGGUGGAACAACUUUUCUUACACCUAAAGAUAUGUUUGAACUACUGCUGGGUGAUUAUUGUUGUGUUUAAGGCUGUGUAGCUUUCUAGUUUUGUUAUGUAAAAUUUAAGAUGAAUAGUUGUGUCUAAUAUCUGAUAUUUAGAGAACAUAAUUUUUCCUUAAUGUAAACAGUAUUGCAAUUUAUAUGAUUUUCAAUAUAUUUUUCGUAUACUUCCUAAUAAAAAAGAAAGACAAUUGUUGUCAACAAAGGAGUCAAUUUGCACCCUAUAUUUUAUUGUCUUAUUUGCAUCCUAUAUAACUUUAAAGAUGAAGAGAUACAUUUAUUAGAGGUAGAAAAAAAGUUGCGAUUCAAAAAGAGUCAAAUUGUUAUUUUCAUUCAAUUCAAUUAACUUUCACUAUAUUCAGGUAAAACUCAAUAUAAAACUUCAGUUACAAAAUAUUUGUUAUUGAAAAUUUUAGAACUUUUCACUUAAAAAACGAGAGAAUAAAAAACACGAUAAAAAAGGAAAAAGAUAUAUAAGGUCACCUUCCUUGAUAUGAGAUACAACCUCAUUGAUGGGUAUGUGUUGUAUUAUUUUAAUGAAGACAGUGUUUAAUAAUAUUAUAUCGUUCUCCAUAGUUAUAUAAUGUCACACAGUUAUAAUUUGAAUGAUAAAUCUAUAGGAAAAAGUAGGGUACGGAAUAGAGCUACAAAGAAAAGGUAGGAUAAAAGAUGAAAUAUAAUUAUUCAGCAAUCAAUGAAGACAAAAUGAGAAAGAAAAUUUUAAGGUAACGAUACGAUCACACCAAGUCAAUCGUUACAUAAAAUAGGUCUUUUCAUCAUUACCUAACGAUGAAUUUAAACAAUACGAUACAAAUAAAAUUUAAGUAACAAUCCAAACAAACAUUGUAAUUAAAUUACCAACACAAUCCAAUCCAAUGGGUAGCAACCAUCCAAACAAGGGAUAAGUUAUUGAUGCAAUUUUGAUAAGAAAACAAAAAUACUGUAAGUUUUGGGUCGUGGAUUGCCCAUGUGGACCGAUCCAAUCCAACUUUCAAACAAUUCAUUUUGAUAGAAAAAUCAAAAACUUCCGCCACAAGGUACACAAGCCAUCGAUUUUGCUCCGAAUUUCUCACAGAUACAUUAUGACCAUAUCUUGAUCCAUCGAUCAUGACUCACUGAAGCUAUAAUACCUUUACCACGUAAACCUGCUAAUGAAGAAAUUAUACCAUCAUGUGCUCUAUAUGAUGAAGUUAUGUUUGCUUUACACAUUGGAUUCCACAACUCCAAAACCUGCAAAAACAUUUGACAUGUAUCAAAUAGGGUCAAAUAAAAAGUUAUUAAUUCUUCGAGAGGAUUUAAUAUCUAAAACAUUCUAAGGUUACGAAUAUACCUUAUUAGAACCAAUCACCAACGCUAGAAUUCGGCCUGGGUGAUAAAUGCAGGAUUGAAACUUAUUCACACCAGAGAGCAAUUCAAAUAUCCACAUUCCUUCACGAAUAGACCAUAUUCGUGCGCUAUCUUCGCUCACUGAUGCAAUGUAUUUUCCAGUUACGUCCCAACAGAUUGAAAGAAUGUUUCCAUCGUGUCCCUAUAAAUCAUAGAAAAUGAAAUCGCAGUUAUACAAUAUAGUUAUGCAACAUGUAAGUUUGACUAAUAAUAAAGAAUAUAUAAGCAUUUUACUUGUAAUGUUUUCUGGAUGGUUUGAGUCUCAAUAUCAAAAAUAUUUAUGAUAUUAUUGGUAGAACUUGCCAAAAGGCUCCCAAGUUGAGGUUGAAAUCUAACUUGUCUACUCCCUCCCUGCAUUGACACGGAGUUUAAGAAUAGAAAUGUGUUAAUACUCUAUUUUUUAGACGGACUAAAAAGGAAAGUAAAUCAUAUAAAUUGAGACAGAGUAGUUAAUUCUAUACAAACCACUAUAUUUUGAAAAUUGUAUAGUAUAUAUGUUGUUUAGUCUAAUAAGAAUAUUGGUUCAAAUAACAUUACCAAAUAAAUUUUCUUUUCUAAAACAUCUUUUUGCAUGUAUAUAUUCACAUAAUAAUCCACUCUUAAUCUUUAAAAUCUUGAAAUUGGUUGGAAUAAAAAAGAAAGAAAGGUAAGAAAAUUAUUUACUACAAUUAAAUCCAGGAGUUUAUGUAAAACAAAUUCAACAAUGAUUUCAAAUCAGUCAAUUAAGAAAUCUCUAAAUUUAAAUAUAAACAACAAAAGCAGCUAACUAUCAAAUUAUGAAGUCUCCACAUGUUAAAUAGAGGUAACGGUAUAUCCCGCUAGUGAUAUUGCUCAAGACCUGCAUGAUUUUAAUACGCGUCACUAAUUGAUAAGACAUGCUUACUUAUAUAUCUGCCCAACAUCUCUCCUAUAUUUUUAUUCAUAUGAAACCUUUUGUCUUAAGUUGGAGCGUUACAUUUAAAAGUAAAAAUAAAAAAGAAGAAAAUAGAGACACCAACCUUAAGACUGAGCAUGCAAUCACCUCCAUUGACAUUCCACAGUCUAAUCUCAUUGUUGUGAUCACAAGAACUGAGAAGAUCCACCAUUGUUGGAUGAUAAUCAACUGACAUCACAUGCCCAUGAUGUCCUUCAAGGUUUCUAUAAGUCUUUGUUGGCUGGAUAAUGAUAAAAUGAUGACAUAUGUACAAUAUCAUGGUUGUAAUAUAGACAAAUUUUAAAAAAAUUGAAGAAUAUAAUCAAACACAUAGUUUACAAAACCAUUGAAUUUAUUUUACUAGUCAGAAAGCGUAAUCACAUACAAAGACGAAUUAUACCAUAUAAAAUCACAAUCUAAAAUCGUCCCUUGUUACAGAUUCGUUCCAACACUCUUCGGAAAAUAAAUCUUUCACAAGAACUUUAAGAGAAUAAUUUUUUUAAUUAUGGAAAUAGAGAUUGUACCUCAGCUGCAUCCCAUAUUUUCACAGUUUUGUCAAGAGAAGAUGUUGCAAACAUUGUUGAGUUUGGUCUAAAACGAAUAUCUGUAAUAUCCUGACUAUGACCUUCUCUACUACUAAAAUCGUUAUUUCCCAAAUUCCAAAUCAUAACCUAAAAACAUAAAAAGCAAUACAAAUUAAUUAACAAAAAAAGCUAGAGAUUUAAAAAAGUGUUUUCCCAUUUGACAAAAAAUAAAUAAGACAAACCUUAUUGUCAUGUCCACCAGUAGCCAAAAACUCUCCUUGUGUAUUAAAGUGACAACAUAAGAGCUCAAUAUUUGUAGCACGAUAGUUAUGAAUAUUUUUUAGAAAAAACCCUGUAAAGUAAUAUAAAGUCAAUUAUAUUAUGGUAAUAAAUUCAUUUCCUCAAUAUAAGAACAUUAAAUACACAACAUAUCUAGGUGAAUAUUGACCCUAACAAAAAAAUAUGUACAAUUCUUAUAUAGGAUUAACUAUUUUUGUUACAUACCUUUUGGUUUAUCUUUUUGCGUCGAUACAACGAUUGAAUUACUUCGACCUCCAAUUUCUUUCUCAACCUACAACUCAGGAAUAUAUAUUAUAUAUAUGCAAGAAUAAAGUAUUUGAAGAUUUUAUAUAGAGAGACAAGAAAAAACUAAGAAAGGGAAGUUCAUUCUCAAAAAAAAUGAUGAUGUAUGUUAAUAGGGAUGGCAAACUAAUGAGUCGAUUCAGGGUCAGAUCGAAAAUGUGUUACGUGAAAAUGAAUAAAUUAAAAUAUCUAAAUUGACUCAUAUUUUAUAUGGAUAAAUCAAAUAGAUAUCCAUAUUAUCCACUCUUUUAGUAUGUAAACAAAUAAUUACAAGAUUUUUUUUCUUAUUCCUUUUCUCUGUUUAUGGUGGUUGGUAUGAAGGAAAAUAUUUCCUUCUUUUCCUAGAAAAUAUUUUUCUGAUUUAACAAAAGUUUUGAAUAUUUUUUUCCAUACAGUGUAGAAGUCAUUUUUCUUAAAAUAGAGGAAAAUAUGUUUAUUUAAAAAAUAUUUUCCAAAAAAUUAAAAUUAACUAAGCAUAAAAAAAUUAAAAUUUUAAAAAAAAUAUAUAUUUCUUUCAUACUAAACACACCCUUAUAGUAAGUGUACUUUUUAGAAAUUCUUACACCCUUACACACUUAAGGGGAGUGCAAUUAAUGAAUAGCCAUGUAUAAUAUGGAUUGAUCCAUAUUUAAUCUGAAUCGAACAGAUAAAUCAUAAAUUUUACUCAUUUUACCACCCCUUUAUGUCAAUAACAUAGCAAAAUGAAAACAUAAUCACAUGAAGGGAUUCAAGAAGUUGAUCUUACUAAUCCCAGAGAACUCAAUGGAGAUUUCCUCUUUCUUCCAGUCUCCACCAUAGGUUGUUUUCCCUCUCUUCUCAAAAUUCUUUCAGGAGAAUCCAUUGUUUGUUGUUCUGCUAUUUCAUUCCAUGAGUUUCUUUGAUUUGUAUCACCAAACACCUAUCCAAAAAGAGAACAAAAAUAAGUUCUUAAUCAGUAUAACAUAUAUUUUGUCUCUUAAAUACUUAAAAACGAGUAUUAUAUUCAACUUACUCCUGCAACGUUUCCACCUUCAAUGUGACUAGGAAGGAAAUCUCCAUCACUUGUAAGAGCAUGGUAGAGCUUAUUACCAUAGUAAUAUUCAAUUGCUCCCUCAGGUAAAACUACUUGUCGCGGAGAUGAUACAGUAGUAAUUCCUGGAAAUUGUUCCUCUUGAAUAUGCAUUGUUACAUUAGAUGGCCAUUCUUGAUGAAAUGCUUGUUGAAUAGAUGUAUUAUUCCCUGUAGGUACAACACAAAAGAAGAUCCUUGCUAUAAGAUAUAGUACUAAAGAAAACUCUUCGUUUGGUUGGGAACAAGUUAUCCCAAGAUUAGUUAUCCUGGGAUUAGCUAUUCUGGAAUAACUUAUUCCAUCACUAUGGUAUAAAUGGUGGGACAAGUUAUCCCAAGAUUAGUUAUCCUGGGAUAACUUAUUCCAUCACUAUGGUAUAAAUGAUGGGAUAAGUUAUCCCAAAUAUGGCAACCAAACCAGAUAUGAAAAUUUUAUUAAUACUUGUGUCGAAGUAAUUAUUUUCAUUAAAGCUAAAUAAGAAACAAACCUGCAUCUAUAAGUUCUGGUGAAGUAAGCAAAGCAUUUGCAGGUACUUCAAAAUCAAUCUCAUUCAUUUCAUUCAUUCGUUCAGAAACCUCUAAAAUUGGUUCUUUUUCCAGCCACUCUAACAUAUCAGGUGAAAGCGGUAUGUCCAUCACAUUAUUAGAUGUAUUUUCCAUCGUAUGAUCAUCAGAAGCAUUUAAUUGAUGUGUAUGAACGUUGUUAGUAACGACGUUUUCGAGUGUUGACGAUACCUGAAAAAAAUUACAAAUCAGGUAGUAUUUAGUUUGGAAAUAAUAUAUAUUCAUAUCAAUUUAAACAUGAAUAAGUAUAGAAAAAGUUCUUGGGUAACACCUUAUCAACGGAUUCAACAUUGAGCAUAGGAACGUUUGGGUACACAAAGCUAUAUGCUUCAUAGAAUUUAUUCCACCACAUUUGCAGGAAUGCUUCUUGAGAAGAAUUGACAGCUGAAAUGAAUCAAAAAAUCAAACAAUUAUUACAUCAAAGUUUGAUAUCACAUUAUCACAUCACUUUUUUAUUCCACAUGCAUUAAGAAUUUAUUAUUUCACAUGCAUAUGAAUAAUAAAGGAUAGUUAACACACUAAAAACCUGUUUGGAUUGACUUAAAAGUUGGUCAAAUAUAAUUAUCAGUCAUUUUUAGCUUUUGAUCAGACUGUUUGACAAAGUUAAAAAUAAGGAAAAAUCACCUAAAUUAUUUUACCCUAUUCUCUAAAAUUCUCAACCAUUUGAAAAAAUUACAAAAAAUUAUAUUCUAGUCUCUCCUAUUCUCGGAUAUAUCACUUUACACGAUAUAUCGAUCGGAUACAUCACUUUACGCAAUAUAUCGGUCAGAUACAUCACUUCACACAAUGUAUUGGUCGGAUAUAUCACUUUACGCAAUGUAUCGAGACGUACGCGAUGUAUCGAGACAUUGAGUGAUGUAUCCGAAAUCGAGAUGCUGCUAGAUGUAUCCGAAAUCUGGAUGCAAUGUAUCGGGAUGUAUCCAGAUUCCACCAAAUUUAAUGGGUUUUUGUAAAUUGAAAAAGAAUAGGGAUGAGAUGGCUCUUAACACUAUCAGAUCUGUGUAAAAUAAAAUAACUUGAAAUGACUUAAAAAAGUUUUAAAAACCAAAAGUAGAACCCUCCCUACUUUUUAUUUUUAACUUAAAAGUCAUCUAAAUUACUUUUUAAAAACUACUUUUUUUUUCCAGUCAAUCCAAACGGACGCUAAGUACCAUAUAUUCAUAUGUAAGAAUUAUCAAAUAAUUUAAGCAUACGAAUAUACAACCAUUUUAGUAAAAACAUCCAUUACUAAAAACACAUAUAUAAGUUUUUACUAUUAAAAAGACUUUCUUACCAUAAUAAUUUUGAUUAGCAAAAACUUCACGGCGGAAUGUCUCUCUAGUCUCAUGUAAACCUUUUAUAAACAUGUAAUCAAGAAUGACUUGAUCAAGUCUGAAAAAAUACAACCAAAUUAAUGGAUAAACAUGAUUAAUAAUAGUCAAAAAAAGGGAAAAAUUCACAUACAACAAAAAUCAAAACAAAAUUAGGAAAACAAAUAUAAUUAUCAAGUGUAUCAAUCAUCAUUCAUAUAAGUAUAAAAUAACACUAAAGUUUAAUAGCUUUUGCUAUAAAUAAUUGGUGAUAUAUCACACAUAAACACUUACAAGCGUUGAGCCUCCAAAUUGGCCAUAUGAUCAUCAAAAGCAGAACCUUAACUUAUCAUAAAAGAGAGAAGAAUUGAAUUUUUGAGCAAGAACAAUUGGGAAAAAUGAAGAACUUUUUUAUUUUAUUUUUGUUAUAUAUACUCUAUUUAUUAUUAAAACAAUCAGAUUUCAAAAAGAAAAGAAAGGAAAGGAGUUAAUGAUCAGAUACAAAAACGAGAAUAAAGUUGAAAUAUUUGAUAUAAUGCAAUCUAUUUUAAAUUUGCAUUUGAUUGUUCCACCAACUUACCAUAUAUUUAUUUGUCAAUUUUUAUUUUUAUUUUUAAAAAUUAAUCCAAUUACUUAAUCUCAUUAGAAAAUGAGAAGCAUUUCAAAGAAAUUAAGGGCUUUGAGAUAAUGUAACUCUUAUUACCAAAAAAAAAAGAAUGCAACAACAAAGAUUUGAUAUGAUAAUAUAGUCUUGGUAAGAAAUUAAAUUAUUGUUGACUAGAUACCAUUUUAAUUAAGUUAUUAUUGGACUAUCUACUAAAUAUCAGGGGAUUUGUUGAUACCAAACGGUAACUUAAUAAUUGUUAGAAUGGUCUAGUCAAGUUAUAAUAACCCAAGACUUCAUUAGCUCCAUUCAUGCAUAUUAUGAAUUUAGACAUAUAUGAUAAGUUAGUAAUAUAAUACACUGUAUUUUAAUUUGGUCUUACGUGAUAUUUAUAGACUUUAAUUUGGUCUUACGUGACAUUGAAAUAUACAUUUGACCAACAUAGAAAAACUAAGUGAAUAAUUCAUGUUAAUUUAUCAAAUUAAUUAAUCAAAAUAAAUUAAUUCAUAUUCAUUAAUUGAACAACUAAUUUUUAAAAAAAUUAAAUAAAAAUAAAAUAACAAACUUACUUAAUUCCUUAAUGCAUGUAAAAUAAAAAAUUGUGACAUAACCCCACAUAAACUUAAACGGGAACCCCAAAGAGUCCUCCCACAAGCUCACUAGCUGACUAUCACAACUGACCAAAAAAAAUCAAUUCUUGUUUUGUGGGUUUUGUUGAUUUUCCAUUGAAAAUGGGAAGGAUAUUUGUUGUAGAUCUUGAAGGCAGGAUUUACAAGUGCAAAUUCUGCAAAACCCACCUUGCUCUUGCUGAUGACCUUGUUUCUAGGGUAACCAUUUCUUCAAUUUCCCUUUCUAGCUAAGUUUUUAUAAAUAAAAAUCUUAUCUUUAUUAUAGAGCUUUUCAUUGGGUUUUGGCCUUUUGGGGCUUGUUGUUUCUUUGAGUAAUUAGCUUUUAUUUACUUGUUUUUGCAUAUUGGAUGGUAUUUUUUUGUUUUGAGAAAGAAUACUUAGAUGGUGUUUUCUUGUUUUUGCAUAAUUAGAUGGUAUUUUUUUUGUUUUGAGAUAGAAUAAUUAGAUGGUAUUUUCUUGUUUUUGCAUAAUUAGAUGGUGUUUGUGCCUACACAUCCUCCAAAAGUAUAACCAAAGGAGAAAACAGGGCAACUAGAAAGAAAAGAAAUGUUCUUGCAUGAUCAUUUGCUUAUGCUAGUUUUUUUCGGCACGUGUAUGUCAAGUCAUGUAGAACGUAGGCGUUUAGCCAUGUUUCACUGUGAAAUUUGAAAAAGAAGUGUAUUUUUUUUUUCAAAGUGAAAAUUGAUAUUGUUUGGCCAUGAAUAAAAAAUGGAGUUGUUUUUGAUAAUUUAGAGUGAAAAAAGUGAUUUUGUGUCCAAAAAGUGACUUGAAAUUCUAGAAUUCAACUCAACUUGAAGUUGAGUUCCUGAAGAAUUUUGUGUCCAAACAUGUUUUUCGGAGUUCAACUCUGGGAAAAAAGUGAUUUUUUUUUAAUAAUGUAUGGAAGAAUGUGUGGAGAGUAGUCAUGCUUUUUGCUUUGUUUGUUUGUUUCAUUCUGGGCUGUGAAGAAAGUGAUUCAACUUGAUAAUUGGAAGACUAGGUAUGGACUAUGGUAUUCAUGCUUAUUACCCUUCAAGUUGGAAGUGAUUUGGUUUCUAUCAUUAGUUAUGUGAUCUGUACCAAUUUAUAAUAAAUGUCACCUAGCUUAAUUUUUCAAAGUUGACGGAAAAGUUUUUAACUUCUUUCGAGAUGGAUGUAUUUUGUGAUAUAUAUGGAAGCGUUUAUGUUAUAAUUGAAGUGUUGAAAAUGGAUUAUGUACAAUUUGCAUGAAUUUUGUAACCGAUAUCUCCAUUUGGUUUACUAUUCUGGCUUUUGUUAUGUUUUGAAUACCUUUGCUUGCUCUCAUGCUAUUAACUUCUUUCCAAAUGGAUAUAUUUUGUGAUAUUUAUGGAAGCAUUGAUGUUAUAAUUGAAGCGUUGACAAUGGAUUAUGUACAAUUUGCUUGAAUUUUGUAACCGAUAUCUCCAUUUGGUAAACUAUUCUGUCUUUUGUUAUGUUUUGAAUACCUUUGCUUACUCUCAUGCCAUUGUAUGUGAUAAUACAAUCAAAUCUCUUUGUAACAACAUCAUUUGUCCUGAUAUGUUUUGGUUGCAUAGCACAAUGUUGUUAUAGAGAACGUAUAAUAUAACAAAACAUUGUUUGCCCUGCACCCCUACUUCAAAAACCUUUCUUUUAGUCGAGGAUCUUUAGGAAACAACCUCUCCUUCUACCCCCACAAUGAUAGGGGUAAGGUAUGUGUACAUUAUAUCCUUCUUAAACUCCACUUGUGAAAUUACACUAGGUAUAUUGUUAUUUUAUAUGGCAGAAUAAAGUACAUUUUUGUGUGGAUGAUCAAUGCGGAACGAAUCUUGUAAAUGGAUUUAAGAUUUAGCUCAUUAGUUAAUUUCUAUAUUUUGAAUAUAAUUAUUGAUUAUCGUUCUGUCAAAUAUGUCUUAUCCCUAAAAUCAAUUAAACUUAAGUCUUUCUCUUAAAUAGCUAUAAAUGUUGACAUGCCAUUUUCAUGCAAGUGCUUAUAAACUCGAAGAACACAACGUAAAAAAACAUAAAGUUAAAUUACCAAAUGCGCAAAGAUUAGGCUUGGAGAGUGAUUCAGCAUUUUAAUCAAUCUUUAUCCUUCUGGAAAUUUUCUGCCACGAUUUCUUAUUCAUAGAAUUGCACUUUUGGCUUGCUUGGUUUGUAGUUUUUUAACGGUUGGUUUUAUGGUCAGGGAUUUCAUUGCCGCAGGGGAAAAGCCUACUUGUUCAAUAAAGUGUGAGUGCCUAUUAAUUUCUGAACUACACAUUGAGCAUAACCAGUUUUGUUUUAUGACUUAAUCUGCUUGUUUCACACUUGAAUUGACUUCGUUGAUAAUCAUGCAUUCAUUUGAGACUGCUAUCUGUCACAUUCUUUUGUAUCCUAUCUUACUAGUUAUGGUAUUGGGAAGAGGAUUGAGAUGUAGUCACAUAAAUUGGGAUAGAGGGAGUAUUAAAUUCUUUUAUUAAAAAAAAAGAUAUUUGCUAUAUUAACCUUAUGUUUUAUAUGCCGUCUUUUCUCUGUAUGAUAUAUUCAUGAUUGUCAGUGUUAUGGAAUUGAUCUAUCCUUCAUCCCUUGUGUCAAAUUCUCAAAAUUUACCAUGUCGAUGUGUCUGCAACUAAUCAUAUGCAUUUCACAUCCAUCUUCAUGCUUUCUAAAUUGUAGUGGAUUGAGGAACUCACAUUGUAUGAACUGUAAUAUAACUUUAGCCUCUAGACAGAUGUUAUAUGUAGAAGAAAAGACUUCCUUUCUAGCGACGAUGACUUAUUAGUGAAUCCAAAAGAGUUCCCAAUUUCAAUAUUGCUCCCAUAUAUUGUUUUCACGUUACUGAACAAUUAAAUGCUAGCAACAGCAUCCAACUUAACCAUACCACUUGAAUGCACUAAAAUCAGCAACUUGAUUUUGUGCAUUGAACAUGGCUGUUGAGCUGAAGAUGUAUUUGAAUAGAAAUUAGUGUUUGCUUUUGCUAGUAGUGGAACAUGUAUAUUUUCUCUCAUCCGUCCUAUCUUAUAGAUUUGGGUUCCCAAGAGGUAUCACUUAUAAGAAAGAUUUUAGACAAACCUCUCCUUUUUCUUUCUCACAAAUAGGAAGUUUCGAUUCCAACUGGGAUAUUAAAAGGAUUACCAGAUAUGCACAUUUUUUCUCGAAUUUUACUCUUACCGACUCUGAUUUUUGAAGCAAGAUGUUGUCGAAUUAGACCACAAAUUACAAAUGUAUGGAAAAGUUCUAUUGCUAUUUCACGAGGCAAUCACUUCGAUGUAGUGAAAGUGAAGGAUCCACGGCAAUGAGUUUUUCAAAAAACAUGAUCAGAAAAUGAGAAAAAUGGAAUUCUUUGAAAAGAAAAAGAAAUCCAUUUUAUAGAUCCAGUUGGUAAGGACUAAAGAUUACCGCUUCUUUUUUAUUUCUAUGGUCAAUGAUCAUAGAAGCCUUGGCAGUGCAAUAGCUGAUAUUUUACUAGCAUCAUCUUCCCUCUGCUUUCCCAACACUUUGCAAUUGUGCACCAUUCGAUAUAUAUGCAGAGGUCUGACUGGUCCGCCUGAUUUUGUGAUUCAGGGUGAAUGUAACUGUUGGACCUCAGGAGGAAAGGGCGAUGCUUUCUGGGAUGCACACGGUAGCAGAUAUAUUUUGUUGCUGUUGUGGGCAAAUUGUUGGCUGGAAAUAUGUAUUCCCUUUCGUUCUCUCUCUCUAUUUCUCGUGCAUGUAGACAUAGAUACCAAAACAAGUGCACACACAAAAAGAGGAGUUAAAUAGUUAGCCCUCUUGCCGUAUAAAUAUGUUACCAAUUGCACAUGCAUGAUAUACCUACACCGGAAAUUUUGUUAACAACUAGCACUCUACGUUUCUAUCAUGCAGGAGGCUGCACACGAGGAAAGCCAGAAGUAUAAAGAAAAGAAGUUUGUUCUCGAAAGGUGCCUCUUUUUUCUUGUUGAUUUCACAUUCAACAUGUAUACAUGAAAACAUCCACCUGUUUUGAAUCUCUUCCAUAUAACAUUACAUGUUCUUCUGGUUGUUUGUUAACAGGGGUAGGAUCGUUGACGGAGUUGACACUGAAUUCUACAUCGAUACUCGUCCAACUAUCAGUGAUACUGAGGAUGCAUAGGCUUUGUUAUGUUAUGUAUCUAUCUAAACAUGUGUGAUUGUUGUAUCUUGCAAGUCUAGUUUGUAGAUAUAGGGAAGAAGCUGUUUGUAUCAAAAUAUUGUGUGGUUGUAUCUUGUAAGUUUAGUUUGCUAGUAUAUAAAGAAGGUUAUGCAUAAGUUUUUGGUCUACAAUACCUGAUUUUUUCAUGAUGUUAUAGGAGCUAUAUGAUUAUUAGCUACCAAAUUGGUUAAACUAAAAAUAACUUUGUAAGUAUUCACUCAUCCUUGAUACGGAGAGUCUUUAGGAAAUGCUUCAAAUAUACAAUUCGAUGCAACAAAUUUUUAACUCUUUUUUUCUUUUUAUCGUCUCUUCAAAAUUUAUCUUUUGUUUUAAUUUUUUAAGAAUAAAAUAAACAAUGAAAAAGUAAAAGUGAUUUGGAUUCGAUUCAUUUUUCGAAUAUAAAUCUACAAAAGCAAAGAAAGCAUAAGAUGCUUUUCGAAUAAAUAAAAGAUCCAAAUUGUUCCUAUGUCAAAAUUGCUUUUUUAAGUAGAUAUUUUAUUUAUGGCAUAAUACAUAAAUGUGUCAUUUAACUUGGCUUCAUUUUACGUUUAUGUCUUCCAACUUUGGAUAUGCACAAGUAGACACUUAAAUUUGUAUAAAGUAGAAUAAGUAAACACACGAGUCCUACAUGGCACAAUACAUGUCGGACACCGUAGGAUAAAAAAUGACAUUUUACGUUUAUGUCCUCCAACUUUGGCUAUGCACAAGUAGACACUUAAAUUUGUAUAAAGUAGAACAAGUAAACACACAAGUCCUACAUGGCACAAUACAUGUCGGACACCACGUAGGAUAAAAAAUGACAUGUAGGAUGUCAUGUAGGACAUGUGUGUCUAUUUGUUCAACUUUAUACAAGUUUAAGUGUCUACUUGUGCACACUCAAAGUUGAAGGACAUAAAUGUGAUUUAAAGCCAAAUUAAAGAGGCAUAUUUAUGUGUUAUGCCUUUAUUUUUUCAUAUCCUUAUUGUUGAGAUGAUUUUACUAUUCUAAUUUCUAAUUGUACAAGCUUGCACAACUAAUUCUUUCAUUCUUAAUCAAACUUUGAUUUUGAGUUUGGGUAAAUCACAUUAUUAUAGGUACUAAUUAUAUGUUAAAACAAUACUUUUUUUUAAUUAUAUAUAUAUAUUUUUAAAUAGUGUUCUGAAUACAUGUAUCUUAGAUAUACGCAAGUCAAAUUAGGUGUAAUUUAUUUCAGAUACAUUAUAUUCAAGCUUGAUUCACAUGUAUUUAGAAUACAUCGACUUUCUUGCUCAUUCAUCCCCCUCUCUUUAUGUAUUUGUAUUUCAAAAUGUAUUUGAAUUUCACAAAAAAAUAUAUAUCUAUGUUCUCAAUGCCAAUAAUUUCUUGUAUAUGUGAUCUAAAUUUCAUCCCAUGUAUCCCAUAUCAAUUUAGUGUUUCCGCAUAGAUACAUGUAGUAUCCAAAUAUGCACUGAUACAUUCAUGAGUGUAUUCGUGUAUAUAUACAUGUAUUUGAUAUCAAAAUAUACACUGAUACACAUCAUAAACCGAGAAAAAAGAGGAGAGAUCAAUAUAAUCAGAGAUGUUUGUUAAAUUAGGUAGUUUUUUCAAAAAAAAAUAAUAAUCUUGUUUGGAGUAUGAAAUGAACCUGACAACACACGUAAAUCUGAAUUUAAUCGGGUUUUAAUCCGAGUUUCUAACCUACCAUGAAAAACCACAAGCUCAUAUGAUUUCCCACCAAACGCUACAGAUAAAUACCUGAAAACAGAUUCCUUUGAAGAAGAAGGUAAAUAAAAAUGGCGUUCUCAGCUAACCCGUUAUCUCUGAGUGUACCCGAACCCGUAUUCGAAACCUGGCUCCGAGAUACCGGUUACCUCGAAAUUCUCGAUCAACGGACUACCGAUCUCCACCGCCACUCCUCCACCACCGCCGCGGCGGCGACGACCGCUUCCUCCGACACUGCUGUUACUAAUUCUGCCGCAGCCGCGGUUUCAAUCUCAAAUGGAGUCUUCGUUCUCAUAUUUUCACGUAUUGGAACCUUACUGUCGCUUUUAACGCUUAAUCCGUUUGCAAAACUCACCUCUGAUGACUUUUCCGGUGAUACCCCGUCGUGGACCCUCCAAUUCGUCGGGUCAUUUGAUUCCUACUCAUUUCCUUCGUCGCCGUCUCAGGCUCGGCUUAGAGUACACGAGAAUGUGAAACGCUAUUCUCGGAAUUAUGCCUCUCUCUUCGUCCUCUUCUUUGCUUGUUCUCUGUAUGUUCUCUCUCUCUAUCAUCUAUACACAAUGACACAUUCUAUAUGUAUGUAUGUGUAUUCGUGUCUGCAAACAUGUAUAUGAACAUUGGCAUGUAUCUGUUAUGCGAUUAGAAUUAUUAAUAAUUAACUUUUGAACUUGUGCAAUAACUUGAAUGGUUGGCUUUGUUUUGAACACUAUCUGCUAAGGCUUAGUAUGAAAUGGACCCGAAUGGAGUGGAUUAAAUAUACAUCAUUCAUAUAACUUACUACAACUAAUUUAGCUGAAGGAUUUCGAUUUCAGUUGCUUGAUUUUUGUGCUAUUUGAUUGCUUUGGUAUUGAUUGCAUUUUGAUAAAUUUGGGUAACAGGUACCAAAAGCUGUUUGCCCUUGUUGGGUUGAUAUCAUGUUUAGCACUUUGGGAUGUAUUAAAGUUAUGUGGAGAUCGCUGGGGAUUAGAGCAGCGCCCAGUUAUCAAACAAAGCUUGAUUCGCAUUGCUCAGUGUGGUGAGUCAAUAUUCUUGAGUACUUCUCCCCUCCCCCUCCCUCCCUCCCUCCCUCAAAAGUAUAAAGACGCCUAGGGUGUUGCUCUCUUAAAUGAUUCAGGUCCAGCAUUCUAUCAGUGUUUAUGGUGAUGGAUGAUAUGAUCAUAGCUUUGACUGUUUUAUCAUUUGCCAUAUAUUUAUCCUGUGUAUAUUGUAAAAGCGAACACCAGGAAACAACAAUUGGCUGAUCCCUGAUCUUUUAGCUUCUAGUUAACCUUUUGAAUAUUGUCUAUACUAGUGUUCCUUUUCAUAAAUAGCACUCUGCACUCCUCUAGAUUGGAGGCUCUUAUGCCAACUUUUGGUCGAGGCAGAGAGUUUACGUUCAUACCAAAUGGAGACACUUAAUAGCAGGACAUGUGUAACUUAAAAAGUAUUCAUAUCUAUAAUAACACUUAUGAGACCUAUGUGUUAUAAGAUCAAAGAAUUAUAUGGAACAGUUGGGAUGGCUGUUUCUACAUCCAACUUUAUCCACGUCAUCAUUUGUUCUAAUUAUAGUUUUCCUCAUGUUGGGAGACGUUCAUUACAUCCUAAAAGUCCAGCUCCUCUUUUGCUUUCUUGAUAAUCUGAUCUAUAAGAUCGCUACCCAUCCAUCCAAUUUGAGACCAAAUGAAUUUUCUUUCUUCCUAUUGCAAAUUAGAUGCUAGAACAUCAGUAAAAGAGUUUUGGACAGCAUAUCAGUGGCAACGGAUGUAGAUUCAUGUGAUGGUCUAAAGAAAAACAUUGUCAAAUAAUUGCUUAUAGAACUACAUACUCAGGAGUCAGUCAGGACUAUCCAAAACCAUCAUAUGCCAGUCUGUUGAGGUGUUGGAUGACCACAUAUUUAUAGGUUACUGAUAUUCAGAUACAUUGGAUUUGCAAUGGAUGCUCUUAAGACGUUUCACCAAAAUUACUGGAAAUCAGGAUCAAGGACAAAUGAACUAAGCUAAAGUAUAUAAUGAGUUGGUACUAUAAAAUAGAUGCAGAUGUGAGGAAUUACAUACAAAUUGAUCAUGGAGCAGGGAUAUAUGGUUUGACUAUAUUGUUCCCUAAACAAUUGUAUAUUCGUAUAAAAUGCAGUAAAAAGUUCAUAUAUUAGCUGCUUGCAAGACAGUGAAUGCAUAUUUUGUAAAAUCUGUUUCUUCAUCAUUAGAGAAGAAUGUCAUGUCACUAUCUCAAAUCAAUUUUUGUGUUCAAAGUUUCACAAGUUCUCACAAUGAUAGAACCCCCAACCCAAUUUGGAGAAAAACUGAGGCGUGGAUGGUGUGGGGAUGAUGAGGAAGGUACCGUAUCCUUACUCAAAAGUAUUAUAAAUAAGCAAAAUAUGGUAGAAACAGCUUAAAUGCUUUAGUCCACGGAUAUUGUAGUGUCGAUGGGCUUGAAAGGAAAAGAAAAAGGUGGGGAAUAUUUGAGUAUAUUCGUUUCCAAAAGAAAAAAAGAAAAGGGGAAGUAGAAAAGGCUUAUGAUCUCUCCAUUUCAUCCUUUGUAGUACCUGCACCUUGUCUUUUACUCAAAUAUUGUGAAGAAGCAAAAUAUGGUGGAAAUAGCUUUAAAUGGUUUAGCCUCAGCCAGAAUAGUGUCGAUGAGCGUAAAAGUAAAAAACAGUGGUAAAGGAUUUCUGGGAAGCUUUUUGGCGAGAAAUUAAAAGAAGAGGGAAAAGUAAAAAUGGAAGGUUUAUAAACCUCCAUGUCAUCUGUUGUAGGAAACCAGUACCAGCAAAGUUAACGAGAUAUUGGUAUCUCUUCUCCAUAUCAUCUUUUUGCAGUACCUGCGAAGUUAAUUAUUAUACAUUGAUAUCUCUUACAAACAACGUAAAGGAUGCUUCUGCGAUAGAAAAAGUUAAUGGGCUGUAGUUUCCCUGCCCCUUAGCACGAUCUUUUAACCAAACAUAAUUUAUGAGAUGGGGUGAGUUCUACAUCUCUACCUUCUUGUUUUCAGUAUUUCUAGAGGUUACUGUUUCUUCACAAGUGAUGUGAAGGUACGGAUUACGACUUCAUAGUUGAAGUGAUGCGCUUCUGAGAAGCGCGUUCUUCAAAUAGUGAAAUGCAAAGUAGCUAUACCUGGUAUUCAGGUAUUUACUUCAAAAGAAACUUGUGUGGAACUACCUAGUUAUUAUCCAAUUUCGGCAGAAGAUUGUUGAUUGAAGAAUCUAACUAGAAAGGAUGAGAAAAAGGAAAAAAGGAGGGGAAGAUAGGUUUCUUUUGGGUACUGGGAUACUAGGACUACUCUUACAUGCAUGUUUCAGCAUUCUUUCUGUAGUCAAUGUCUUCUUCCACUUCUUGAGUUUAUAAUACUUCUUGACUUCUCUUCUACUCUGUUAGUAGAGUUCCAUAUAAAAAAGGAUAAAGGGGAUACUUUUUUAUGGUAAAAAAUUCUGUCAUUUCAGUUAUUUCUCAAGAAGAAAAGAGGGGAUCUGUUGUACUUAAGUAUUCAAUUCACCAAUAAGAUAUGAAGGCUUACUUCACAUUUAGAAUUUGCACAAAAACAGACUAUUUUCUACAAACUAUAUAUGAAGCUAAAUGCAGACUAUUUUCUACAAACUAUAUAUAAAGCUAAAUGCUGUGGAUUGAUUAUGUUUUAUGGUUGAUUAGGUGAAACUGAAUAAUCAUUCCGUGAUUGUAUGUUAUGUUUUCAGUGUUUAGUUGAAGUUACAUUUCAAGAUGUUUAUUGUUAGAUUAAUAUUGCCUGAGAUUAGAUGUUGAAAUUAGAAUUUUCAUUGCAGGAAGUACCAAUUUAACAAAAUAGGAGUAGUAAUUUUCAUUGCAAGCUUUUUAUAAGUUCAUGUAUGUUAGAUCAAUUUUGUGUCUCUAGUUAUUGUACACUUUGUUUCCAUUUUCCAGUAAGCAUGCAUGUUAAAUCUUGAUUCACAGUUUUUGUUUAAAGCCCAAAUGAUGUUGUUGCUGUUUUUGUGCUUCUAGUUCUUAGAGACGCUUCUCAGUCUUUUAAAAUGUAUAUUGGACGGUUUUUGUUUCCCUAGAUAAUUUCGAGCACUCAUUUAUUUUCGUAAGCAGAAUUGUUCUGAUACUGUAUAAAUUUGAGAACUGAGUCAGCCUUUCUUGUACAGCUACUGCAGUUAUUCUGUUCUGUACCAAUGUUCAAAUGGCUCUCUUCUCAGCUCUUGCGGUCAGUUAUGUAGGUAGGUUAUCUUUCGUGCCUAAUUUGUUAUCUUACUCUUUAUCUUCUGUUUUAUUGCUAAUUUCAAGAGCUUAUGGCUAAUCGAUGCAUUUGCAGUGAUGAUUCUGCAUGCCUCAUUUAGGAAGCUGACCCCCUCGAAACAAUUAACUUCAAAAGAUGGAAACAGGAGGGUCCUUAGAAGUUGAUGAGUGGUUAUUAUUGUCAAGUCAGACAAUCACAUAGUCGUCGCCUGGAGAGAAGGUAAACCGUGUUUACAAACUAUAGCAUACGAGUCUUGGUUCAUGAGAACAUCUCUCGGUUUGAAACUGAGAAAAUUCUUCGAGUUACAAUGUAAGAAAGCUUCUUCUUCUUCUUAUUUUAAGUUUAGGUUGUAUGUAUAAGUCUAUACAAUGGAGAGAAAAAAGACUAGAUAAGAUUGUAGAUGGGUGUAGAACCCUAAAGAGAAUUGGCACUGCUAAGGCUUUGUUAUUUUGCUAUAUGAAUUAGUAUUAGUAACUCAUUUGUUUAUCUUCGACUGAAUGAUUUGCUUUCCUUGACAUGCCAUAAUUAAUACUUAAUAGUAUAAACUUUGUCUUUGCACUUAAACAAAUGAGCUAAUGUUGCUUUAAAGAAUCAUAGUUUAUGAUUGGCUUAAUACAUAAUCAACCCCUUAAACUUGUUAGGAUAGUUCAUUUAGACAUUCGAACUAAGUAAUGUUUCAAUUGAACAUCUCAACUCCUUCUAUGUGUUUUAAUUAGAUAUUUUUAAUUCAAAUUUUGAAUUAUUCUUUUCGUGUGUAUAGUUAAUCACAUAAAAUAUAUUAUUUGCUUUAAUUAUACGCAUUUGCCUCGAUAAGCUAUAAAAUUUCAAACAUUUUUCUACUUGAGGUUGAUGCUUAUAAUUAAAGGAGAUGUUAUAUUUUAUGUGGUUAACUUAAUUAUCUAAUAGACAAAUUAAAAUACACAUAAAAUUUGAAGCAAAAGUGUCUAUUUGAAACACUUUAUUAGAAGUUGAGAUGUUUUUUGUUAGAACAAAGCUUAGUUCAAAUAUUUAAAUAGAAUAUCAUGACAAAUUUAAGGAACUGAUUAUAUAUCAAAUCUUUUUGAAUAAUAAUAAGGAUUAAAGUGUUUUAAGUUACUAGCCGCCCAUGUUGACUCCCUCCCACCGGGGGCGGAUUUAAAGGGUCAAGAGGGUGUUCAUCCAAACCCUUUUGAUAAAAAAUUAUAUUGUAUAUACAAGGUAAAAAAUUUAAACAUUUCAAGUUUAGGAUUGAAAUUUAUUUUUAAUGUUUCAAAUUAAAGUUCUUCACACUACAUUUUUAUUUUUCAAAUCCUUUCUUGUAAUCUAUUCAAACACCUUAAAAUUAUGAUUUCACACAGUAUGUCCAGGUGCAAACCAAGAGUAGAAGAUCAUAUUUGGUGUAAUUUUUGUUAUAUUGUUUGUACAAUCUUUGCUGUUGCCAAGGUGACUUUUUGGUGACAACUUUAACUUUACUUUGAGAUAAUGCAUUGAUUGCAAGUAAAAAGACAGAGGAGUUAACAGUGAACUUUGUCUCUUUAUGGAGUACCCCACAAUGACUUUUAGGACAAUUUUGCUUUGAUUAAAAUGCUAAAUGAUGAUUUCCAUUUCAACUUUUUAAUUUUACUACUCUAUAAAAACUAUUUUAUUUUGCAUAAGUACUAUAGAAAGUGUCAUGCCUAGAUAGUUAUCUUAAUUUGGUGUACAACUAAAUAUGUCAAUUUCGAAAAUUUACAUCUAGACACAAUAACUUGGUUUAAAUUAUUCAGUAAACACACUUUCUCGAAUGUGUUUUCUCAAUGUUGGAGUGUUAGCUGAGCAAACUUAAAUCAAGUUAAAUUUACCUAAAAGACAUGUAAUCUUUUUUUUGGGUAACAAGCUUAAUAUGAUAUUCUAAAAUACUGUGUUAUGUUAUAAUCGAUUAGAUUGUGUUAAUAAUAUAAAAAUUAUUUAACUUAAAUCCAUUUUUUAUCAAAUGUGAUCAUGAUCAGACUUAACUCUUGUGCUUGCCAGCCCAUGACAUCUAUUGAGUGGGGAAAUAUGUAAAAACUAGACUUCCUUUUCAAUACAAGUGGCCAAAAAAUAUAUGGUCCCAUCCCAUUAGCAAUAGUGUAAUAAACAUUGCCCAAUCCUUAGGGUUCAAUGACUCCAUCUUUUUGUACUGUAAUUUUUCAAUAAAUUUGUUCAUAAUUUGCAACUACGUUGUUUAGAUGGUGGGAUAAGAAUAAUAGUUUUAUGAUAAAAUAUAAAAUUAUUUUAUUCUGCAUUCGGUUACGGGUAUUAAUUAGUCGCAGAGUUAUUUUUCCUUGUUUUAUUCCACUAUUUAAACUAAAAUAAUGGAAUUAGUUGUCCCAUAUAGAAGAUAGGACAACUAAACUCAAUUUAUAAAAUAUCCUUGUUUAUCCCAUCACCAAUCAAACGACCUAGCUUACUAAACUAUUAAGUUUUGAAGGGGCAUGAGAAAGAGACAAUUAAUUUGAAAUACUACUUGUGAAAUUUGUUUUCUCUAUACCUCGAUUGAGGAGGUCAUUUUCCUCUUCUUCUUUUUUGAAUUAAUCUUAUUUUUCCUAAAUAAAAUGUUCUUAAAAAAAAUUGAAUAACCAAAUAUGAAAAAAAUGUUUUCCUUUGUAUCAAACACACUAUACACUCUAUUAUAUGUAUUCGGCAGAAUUCAAUAACAUUAAUUCAAAUCAUUUAUAAAUAUUUAGAAAUUCACUAAUUAAGUACCUAUAAUGAAUUGUGAAUCCAAUAACAUAAAAUGGGUUAGAAGUUCAACAACAAGCGAGGAAUCUAAAACACAUGAAACUUAAAUUUUAAAUCCGCCUCGACAAUGUAUAUACCGAAAACUUAGAAUGCCCCACCUCACGUUUUUAUGCUAUAUGCAUCUUCAUUAUUGAAAGUGAUUGAAAUGGAAUCUGUGAAAGAAUUAUUGCAGCAUUGUUCAUUUCAACAAAUAAAACAAAUAAUUGAGCAGAAAGGAUGGCAAAAAGAAAAGUUUAUAGUACUAUAAAACAUAUAUUUUUUUAUACACAAACAUAGUGGACUAAUUUAAUCUUGGGUUGGAUUAGUUUCCCAUAUGAUCACUCUACUUUUAUUUUACCACACUAAGGUCAAAAAAAUUAAUUUUACUAAUAAAAAAAAUAUUCAACUUUUUUCUUAAAUAUCACCAAAAAAAACACUAAACUAUUUUUUGUAAGAACACAACACUCUAAUAUGCCUAAGUAUCACCAAGAGUCACUAAGUAAUUCAUUCAUAACAAAAGAAAAAUCACUCAACUUGUUUAAUUAAAUAUCAUAUAAAAUAUCUCUUUAUUUUCUCCUAAUGAGUAAUUUCAGCGAUACAUAACGAAGUUAAGUGAUUUUUUUAUACUUUAAUCACCUAAUUUGAUUUUUUUUUUGUCAUGAACGACAAUUUAAUGACUUUAGUAUGAUAAUUUGAAAGUUCGGUGAUCAUACAUAAAACUAAUCUUAAUUAUGUAUCUGUGAAAGUGGUCACUAUUGCUUACAUUAAGAUAGACUAUAUUUACAUCACUCCUUAAAAUGCAACCUUUUUCGAACCCUACGUAAAACGUGAAAUACUUUGUACAUCACACUGUCUAAUUCCAACUACUAGUAGUUCUUACUUAUUUAAGACAAGUAGAAGGGGGGAGGUGAAGAGAGAGAGAGAGAGAUAGAGAGAGAGAAUGAAGUUCUUGUUCCAAUGUCCAUGUUGUUCUUGUUUUUGCUUCAUGAAGCCCCAAAAAGGUAAACCAAAAGCCAAAGAAGAACCCAAACUUAAAGCCAAAGUUGAAGAACCAAAACCUAAAGACAAGAAGGUGGAAGAAGCAAAACCAAAAGAGAAGGAAGAAAGCAAGCCACAAUGAAAGAAGAGGAAAUGGGAUAAUGCAACUAUAUAUUAUGCUCAUACAAGUAAUAUUGUUCUUCAUUUACUUAAAUUUACUUCUAGUUUGAAAUAUAUAUUGUGUGCAAUUGCAAUCUUACUCUUUUGAGAAAAGCCUCAUCCUAAAUGUAUUCUUAUUACAAAAUAUUUGCACUUUAUUCACUAUGAUAUGCAAACCUAGUCUUCAUUAUUAACUAUGUUGCUUAGAUCCUUUGAAUAUAUCAUCACACUCAUAUCAAAUUCUAAAAAAAUGUAUAACUUUUAAAGGAUUUGAUGUACAUUCAAAAGAAAUUUUGAAGGAUAUGAAAAACAUAAUGAUUGGUUAAAUUUCUCUGAAUUAAUUUCUCAAAUAUUUAUCGAACUUGGAGUUUUUUCUAUAUAAAAAAAACUAUUUUUUUGUCGGUGUAAAGUGACUCAACUUAAAAAUAUUCUCAGAAAAUAACUUGACCCAGAAAAACCACAUAAGCAAGCCAAAAUACCAUGUUUGUACAUACGAGUGAUUAUUAUUUUUAUACAAAUCAAGGCGAUAAAAGGCACGCAUUAAUAUUUAGAUAAAUUAAAUUAAUUUAUUUAUAUAAUUAAAUUAAUUUAGAUCAAUUUCAAUUAGUUUUUUUUUUUUUUUUUGGAUAUUACUCUACACUAAAUCCUAGUUCAUGCCUAUUUAAAGGUAAUAUAUUCCCUUGAAAAAGGCAGGUAUUUAGAAUAUUUUAUAAUUUUUGGGUAUUCACAAAGAGAGCAGGAAGAUAUCAAAUAUUGUCUUUCAUCAAGGAAAUCUUGAAUAUCCCAUAAACUUUGGGAAUAUUCAUAAAGAUCAUUUCAAGAUGUGGUCGAACUCUUCUUGACAAUCAAAUAAUUCAAGAAGACCCACAAAAUCCUUUCAUGGAGAUCAAAUAUUAAGAUAUGGUCGAAUUCUUCUUGACAAUCAAAUACUUCAAGAAGAUCCACCUUGCAUCGAGAUCUAAUAAAUCUCAAGGAGAUCCAAAUUAUCCUAAUUUGAGAAAUACACUAUUAAAGCCCUCGAUUCACGGAGAAAAUUCAAAUAGGAGAAUCAAGGGAACAAAUAGAGUUGUAAUCAUAUUGUUUUAUCAAUAAAACUAUGUUUCUUGAUAUUUCAUUUGCAAUUGCAAUUUAUUUCUAUCACUUUAAAAUUAGUUGCAACCAAUAAUCUUUCCAUAUAACGAACUAUCUCCUCGCAUUUUGAAUAUGAGUCUUUUUUAGCAAUCAUUUUAGUAAUUAGUACUUACAAUUAGUUUUUGUUUCAAAUUAAGAGUUAUUUUAGCAACAAAAAAGAAACUCAAAAUAAUUAUCACCAAAUAUCAAAGAUAAAAAUUAGUAUGUUUUUCUUACUAUACUUUUGUGCUUUAUCUUUUUAACGGUGCUCAAUUUUCAGAAAAUAUUUAUUAGAUAGAAAUAAUUUAGUAACUUAUAUAUUAUAUUUAUUAAUUUUUUGAUAAACAUAAUUGUUUUGAGAAUAAUAUUUUGGGACGGAGAAGGCAUUGAAGAAAACAGGAGAAUAAUCACAUUUCGAUUGUUGUGAACAACGUUGUGGACUGUGAUAAACAAACCAAUCUGAAAAAUUCAAAGCCCAAUUUUUGGUGGGUCUUCUAAAAUAAAUUUGAGUUCACCACUCAAGUCCAAAAUAAAAAAUCUCAAAAGCCCAAUUUAUGAAAUUUUUAUAUAUAUAAAGUAAUAUAAGUGAAAUAUGGGAAAGAAGAAUAUAAAAUAAAAGUAUGAUAACUAAAUGAAUAAUGCAAGAAGAUAAAUGUAUAUGUAAUAAAUAAAUUAGGCGGGAGAGCAGAUCAUGCGUUAAAUAAAGCAAAUAAUUAAUUAAAGAUAGGUGCUAGUACCAACCAUAUGAAAUAAAGGCAAUAAAAAGAUAAAUUAGUAAAGAAAAAAAUAGUGUAAAAAUUAAAAUUUGAUGUUAUUAUCAAAUCAACUUUAAAGACUACAAAGAGGAGAGCAAACUCUCACCAAAACUUCUUAUGAGAGAGAGAACGUUGUUUGAAAGAAAAAUAAUGUGUCUUAUUAUAAAAUAGAAAGGAAGGCUAUUUAUAACCAAAAAUUAUUACAAUAAGUUAUAGUAAUGCUACAAUAUUACCCACAAUAAUUUUAGUCCAUAUUUGUUAUUGUAUCAUAUGACAUCCUUGUGAUAUCGAAUUAGCUUAAAAUUUACAUCUUCUUUUAUCUUCAUACUUCGAUUUCUUCGACUCCUAUGAAUGAUUGUUAGAGAAUUCAACUUUGAUUUGUUGGAGAAUUUUUUCGAUUAUUGGAUGAAAUCUCUUUUGCUAAUCGAGCUAGCUAGUUGUGCAAUUACAAUUGAUUUGUCACAUAAGCUUUCGAUGGAUUCUAACUCUUGUACCAUUUGUAAUGACAUUGGAGAGAUAAUCUACAAACUUUUGAAAAUAUAUCCAUGAAAUAUGAUAUCUAUGUAGAUGAAUCAUUCUUGUUCACAAUUGAGAUUUGUACAUAUAUACCAAAUAAAACAACAAUAUCUAAGAUGAUAAUUUGUUGACUAUUAAGAUUAUACUAAUAUGUUAUCAUUGUUCGAAACUUAAUCUGCACAUGUUAGUUAAGUAAUAGCCUUUUAGGGUAUUUAAUUGAUCAAACUUAAUUUAUUCGAGAUGUUGAAUAUAGUUGAACUUAGUUUUCUAUCAUAUUCAAUUCGAAACUUAAAAAUCGAUUAUACAUGCCGUUGAUUGUUUGUUCUUUAUGGGACGAGUUUUAGACACGAUUAGUUGACAACUUUUUAAAUUUCAAAUUUCAUAUAAAAUAUUUAAAAUAAUGUAUAUAUAUAUAUAUAUAUAUAUAUAUUUAUAAAUACCCAUAGCACUAUUUUUUUGAUAAUAUAUGUGGAUAACUUUUCUCCAAGUAGAUAUUCUAUCCAUUUGAUUCCAAACAUACUCCAGAACAUUGCAAUUGGUACACACCUUAUUGGUCCUCACAGUUUCCCAAAUUGUUUUUCUUAUCCUACCUUCACUUUUCAUUAUUAUUGGGAUAAUGCAAAAAAAAAAAAAAAAACAUUAAAUAAGUUUACUGAGUAAAUAAUAUCAAAAAAAAUAAUUUAGAUGUGCGACUAAUAAUUUUACUAUUAUUUUGGAGUAUCUCUAUAUCUUAUCCCUUUAUUUAUUUUACUCUUCGUUUAGUUUUAUCGCUUAAUCUAAUUACACAUGAACUUCAAAAAAUGAAGAAAAUAAUUUAGGAUUUAUAAUUUUAAAUAUUUCAUGAGAUUAUUAUGAUCAUAAAAGUAUUUAAAUUAUUUUAAAUAUAAAAAUGUAAUUCUUUUUAAAAUAGAGUAAUAAGAAUAUAAUGUAAUAUAAAAUAGAUUAAUAGAAUAAGAUCUUUUGCCUUACUUAGCUUCAAAUUUUAAUUUAUAUGACAUAAUUUGAAUCAAUAAAAAAUUGAAAGUUUUAUUUAAAAUCUGUAGGUUUAAAAUAUCAACAUUUAUGUGAUGAUAAAAUAUUUCAUUAAGAGCCAGAUAAGUAUAAAGUUAAUAGAAUUCCUUAAUAUUGUUAACACAAAAUAUUUUCUUUAUUUUAACACAAAUUUAAUUAUUUGCCCUAUUUCAAUUUAUGUGAGCAUUUUUUUUUUUGGAAAAUUGUAUAUAAUAGCAAAUUAUUAAUUCAAAUUAAAUGCUAUAAAUAUACUUUGAUUUAAUUGUACCCUAUAGCAAACUAUUGCUAUUUUCGCCACUCUCGUUUGGUGGCAGUCUCGCUCGCCUCUCUCGCUUUUAUACAAACACAAAUGUAUAAAAUGUGUUUGUGUUUGUAUAAAGUGAGAGGAAAUUGUAUAUAUACAUAUAUUUUCUCUCCCCUCUCCCAGAUCUCGCUCGCCACUCUCCCAAAUCUCGCUCGCCACCCUCGCCUCUCUUGCUUAUACAAACAGAAACGAAACAUAUAAAUUGCACUUCUGUUUGUAUAAAGCAAGAGAAAAUUGUACAUACACAUGCAAAUACAUAUAUAUUCGUCCUAUACACUUAUAAUUAUACAAUACAAAUAUUUCUCUGCCCAGUUUUCGUUUGCCUUUCUCUCUUUCUCGUUUUAUACAUACACAGAUUAUACAAUUGAUCUUUUGUAUAUAAUUGCUUUCUUUUGUAUAUGUAUAGCGAAUUAUACAACUGCCUUCUUUGUAUAUGUAUAGCAAAUUAUACAACUGUUUUUUUUGUAUAUGUAUAGUGAAUUAUACAUAUAUAUGUUUGCUAUAGAGCGCAAUUAUGCAAACUUUGCUAUAGCAUACAAAUAUGAAUUUUGUGUUUGCUAUAUGUGAAAGUUGCUCUUUUUUUUUUUUUUUACUUUAUCACAAAAAAAUAAAAUAACUUAUACUUAAUAUUUUACUAUCCUAAUUUACAUCACACACACUUUUUUUUAAUUUAUCCAAAAUAAUGACACAUUACUAUAAUCGAAAAUAAUUUUGUUUUGAGAUUUGUUUUGAACCAUAAAUUUCAGCCACCUCGUUCAUCCUUUUUAUAUAAAAAAAAUUGUAUCACUUAAAUAGUAUCACAUAAAUUGAAAUCGGAAAAAGUAACAAUUUAAUUUUAAAUUCUCAUUUAAUCCUUUUCUAGACAUAAUAAUUUCUACGACUUGUGUGAAUUAUGAAACAUACAAAUGUAAAGUAGUACUUUUUUUUUUCUUCAAAGUUGUGGUCAAUCAAACAUGUAAAUUAAAACGAAGAAAAUAAUAUUUUGGAGCAGAUAUUUUUUCCUCAUUACAACGGUAACCUUUAUCUAAAGUAGUGCACAACUGCACACAAAGUCUAUAUAAACUUUGUUGUCUCCCUUUUAACCUUUCUAUUCUUUCCACUUUUUGUUUUUCUAGACUUCUCGUGAAGAACUAUUUCCUUUUUCUUUUUUUUUCUAUUUCUCGUGACUCUUUUUUAGUGUAUACUUUUAUCACCACACAAAAAAAGAGUCAUAUUGAACCCCAUUUUGAAACAAAGAGAAGAAAAACAUUGUCCAUGGCUCAGCAAAGACAUGUUGUAGUGUUACUUGUGUUGGCUUGUUUGUUUACAUCUUCAUAUUCUUCUCAAUAUACUGUUGGUGGCAAAGAUGGUUGGGUCCUUAACCCUUCUGUUGAUUACAACACUUGGUCUCAACAUAUGAGAUUCAUAAUCAAUGACUCUGUUUGUAAGUCUUCUCCUUCCUCUCAAAAGUCAAAAUACUGUUAUUUUUUAAGAGUCCGAGCAAUAAUAUUUGAUGAUAUUUGUUAUUUUUUGUGUUUAUAGUGUUUAAGUAUAAGCAAGGAGCAGAUUCUGUGUUGGAGGUGAGUAAGGAUGAUUAUGAUAAGUGUAACACUGGCAAUCCAAUUAAGAAAAUGGAGGAUGGAAACUCCAUUUUCACGUUGGAUCGUUCUGGUCCUUUUUACUUUAUCAGUGGCAACAAAGAUAACUGUGAUAAAGGCCAAAAGUUGCAAAUUAUUGUUAUCUCUGUUAGGAACCAAGGUAAACCACCACAAACUCCGGCACCGGGAGUUGCUCCACCUAGUAAUGGAUCAACUACACCGUCACCUACGGGUUCACCACCAUCUACUGGAGGUACGCGGAAUCAGAAUUUUAAUUUUAUCCGUUCAAUUUUUUAGAUUCUUAGUAUGUUACAUGAGUCGAUUGAACUUACGAGAUUAAUGCAGGCUCCUCUCCGGCAGCUUCUCCGCCUAAAGGAUCGUCUACACCUGGUACACCGUCACCCACGGGUUCACCACCAUCUACUGGAGGUACGCCGGAUCAGAAUUUUAAUUUUAUUCGUUCAAUUUUUCAGAUUCUUAGUAUGUUACAUGAGUCGAUUGAACUUACGAGAUUAAUGCAGGCUCCUCUCCGGCAGCUUCUCCGCCUAAAGGAUCGUCUACACCUGGUACACCGUCACCCACGGGUUCACCACCAUCUACUGGAGGUACGCCGGAUCAGAAUUUUAAUUUUAUUCGUUCAAUUUUUCAGAUUCUUAGUAUGUUACAUGAGUCGAUUGAACUUACGAGAUUAAUGCAGGCUCCUCUCCGGCAGCUUCUCCGCCUAAAGGAUCGUCUACACCUGGUACACCGUCACCCACGGGUUCACCACCAUCUACUGGAGGUACGCCGGAUCAGAAUUUUAAUUUUAUUCGUUCAAUUUUUCAGAUUCUUAGUAUGUUACAUGAGUCGAUUGAACUUACGAGAUUAAUGCAGGCUCCUCUCCGGCAGCUUCUCCGCCUAAAGGAUCGUCUACACCUGGUACACCGUCGGCACCUUCAGCUAAUGCUCCGGCAGGAUCAUCUACACCGGGUGCGUCGUCACCUAAUGGGGCACCAGUAUCUACUCCUGCAGGUAAAUUAUAAAUGAAUUUGGAAUUUCAAUUUGACAGAUUCCAUGUUUUGAUUUCGUUCGAUUUUUAACGUAUUGCACUUUUGAAAUAGUGAAUUGAAUCAUAUAGUUUAUCUGUUUGUUCAGGUAAAUCACCAACCUCAUCACCAACACCUUCCGGUUCAACCGCAUCUCCACCAGCUCCUGCGACCGGAGGAUCCGUAGCUCCGGCAAUGUCUCCGGUAGCUAAUGGACCGUCAACUAGUACUCCAGGUUCUUCUUCACCGGUGGCAGGCGGACCAUCGUCUGGAAGCAGUAUGGCA
This 61497-nucleotide long non-coding RNA is filed under the name Solanum tuberosum (potato). Its description in RNAcentral is "long non-coding RNA (STUB_LNC011074)". The record is from RNAcentral. Lineage: Eukaryota; Viridiplantae; Streptophyta; Magnoliopsida; Solanales; Solanaceae.